UUUUCUUUUUUUUCUUUUCUUUCUUUUUUUCUUUCUCUUUUUUUCUUUCUCUUUCUUUUUUUCUAUUCUUUCUCUCUUUCCCUUCUUUUCUUUCUUUCUUUCUUUUGUUUCCUCACAUGGGACAAUGUUCUAGAAAGGAAGAUCAUCAUACUUCUAUUUACUUACAACUCAAAAAUUACAACUCGGUCCUAGAACAAGAUAUGACUCUAUAUGAAUGCCUCCAGCGGUGUACCAGGAUGUGCAAUGAAUCAAGAUUGAAAUGUAUAAAAAAUGAUGAACGGUGGCCUGACACAAAUACAAUGUCAAUUACAUGAUCAUGCAAAGCAAUAUGACAAUCAUGAUGCAUGUCAUAAUAAAGGGAACGGUGGAAAGUUGCAUCGCAAUAUAUCUCGGAAUGGCUAUGGAAAUGCCAUAAUAGGUAGGUAUGGAGGCUGUUUUGAGGAAGUUAUUUAUGGCACCGGCAAAAGUUGAGCGGUACAACGAAGGGUAAAAAUGGCGAAAAUGAGAGAGUGCAUAUAAUCCAUGGACUCAACAUUAGUCAUAAAGAAAUCACAUACUUAUUGAAAAAAAAUACUAGUCAUCAAAACAAAGUACUACACACAUGGUUAUAGGGGGAUAGAUUGGUAGGAAAAUACCAUCGCUCGUCCCCGACUGCCACUCAUAACAAAGACAAUCAAAAAAUAUCUCAUGCUCCAACUUCAAUACAUAAUGGUUCACCAUAUGUGCAUGCUACGGGACUCACAAACCUUAACACAAGUAUUUGUCAAAUUCACAACUACUCACUAGCAUGACUCUAACAUCACCAUCUUCAUAUCUCAAAACAAUCAUAAGGAAUCAAACUUCUUAUAGUAUUCAAUGCACUUUAUAUGAAAGUUUUUAUUAUAUCCCUCUUGGAUGCAUAUCAUACUAGGACUAAUUUUAUAACCAAAGGAAAUUACCAUGCUGUUUUUAAAGACUCUCAAAAUAAUAUAAGUGAAUCAUGAAAGUUCAACAAUUUCUAUAAAAUAAAACCACCGCCGUGCUCUAAAAAGAUAUAAGUGAAGCACUAGAGCAAAAUUGCCUAGCUCAAAAGAUAUAAGUGAAGCACAAAGAGUAUUCUAAUAAUUCACGAUUCAUGUGUGUCUCUCUUAAAAGGUGUGUAUAGAAAGGAUGAUUGUGGCAAACUAAAAAGCAAAGACUCAAAUCAUACAAGAUGCUCCAAGCAAAACACAUAUCAUGUCGUGAAUAAAAAUAUAGCCUCAAGUAAAGUUAGCGAUAGACGAAGACGAAAGAGGGCAUGCCUUCUGGGGCAUCCCCAAGCUUAGGCUCUUGGUUGUCCUUGAAUAUUAGCUUGGAGUGCCUUGGACAUCCCCAAGCAUAGGCUCUCGCCACUCCUUAUUCCAUAGUCCAUCAAAUCCUUUCCCAAAGCUUGAAAACUUCACAACACAAAACUCAACAGAAAAUCUCAUAAGCACUGUUAAUAUAAGAAAAUAAAUCACCACAUUUGGUACUAUUGUGAACUCAUUCUUUAUUUAUAUUGGUGUAAGAUCUACUUUAUUCCAACUUUUCCAUGGUUCAUACCCCCGAUACGAGCCAUAGAUUCAUCAACAUAAGCGAACAACACAUAGAAAACAGAAUCUGUCAAAAACAGAAAACAGUCUUUAGCAACUUGUAACUAUCGAAUACUUAUGUAACUCCAAAAAUUCUACAAAAUUAGGACAACCUGAGAAAUUUGUGUAAAAUCCAGGGCAAAAAGAAUCAUAUCAAAAUCACGCUUCUAUGAAUUAUUAAAAUUAUUUUCUUGGGUGCAAAAGUUUCUGUUUCUCAGCAGGAUCAAAACAACUCUCACCGUAAGCUAUCCCAAAGGUCUUACUUGGCACAAACACUAAUUAAAACACAAAACCACUUCUAACUAGAGGCUAGAUGAAAUAUUUAUUGCAAAACAGAACCUAAAAAGCAAAAACAAAAAAAUAAUUGCGUUGCCUCCCAAGAAGCGCUAUUUUUUAACGCCCUUAGCUAGGCAUAAAACACGAAUAGAUCUAAGUAUUAUCAUCUUUGGCAUGCACCUCUUUCCUCAUCAAACCCUCCAAAACUCAUCUUAGCAACUAUCCUUUCCUUUAUUUACCUCCUAGUAGAUGAACUCAAAUCAUGAAAAGGACUUUGAUUGGUAAUUUUAACAUUCAUAAACCCAUAGCCGGGAUCAUCACCGUAUAUAUCAUCAUACAAAAUACGUAGCUCAUUUCUGAUGGGUUUGUUCAUCAUUUUAUUCAGCCAAUCCCUAUUAAAUCCUACAUAAAUUCCCCUAGUAAUCCAAUCUAACUCCUCAAAAGCCUCAAGAUACAAAGAUUGGGAGAUUGUUGAAUGGGGAACUCUCCUCCUAAUAUUUUCACUAUAAGGUUGAUACUCUAGACUCCAAACUAUGCAUGGUUUCUUUCUCAUGGAGGAUAUCUAUAAUUGGAGGGUGUUCAACAUCCUUUUCAUAGAAAGCAAAAAUAUCCCUAGCUUCUUGUAUUAUAAAAUCAAAAUCACGCAUAAGGAUAAUAGUGGCUAUCUUUUUAGCUAUUGGAUGAUUAAUAUUGGGAAGUUCAUAAAACACUUUUUGCAAAGCAGGAUGGAGAUGCACAAAUUCUCUUUUCUCAACAAGCAUAACAAUAGCAUCUGCAUAACAAUUUGUUCAAGAAGAAUAGAUCUCCUAUUAAUAGGCAUGGAUCCCGUACAAUUAAAGAAUUCUUGAAUGACACUCUUUCAAAUAAUAUUACCGUCGCCCACACGAAUUUUUUUGGUUUUGUAAUUAGGAGGUUUUUCAGUUUCAUGAUCCAAACAAUAAGAUUCAACUUUAUCCUCAAGAUCUUCAACCAUAACCUCCCCAGUUUCAGACAUGGUGGCUGCAAACAGAUCUAGCAAACAAGCAACCAAAAGGAAAACGAAGAAGACGAACGGAGGAGGGGUGAAGAAAACGCGAAUAUUUUCGAAAAUCGUUUUAGAAGUGGGGGAGAGGAAAACGAGAGGCGAAUGGUGAAUAAUGUAAUGCAAGGGAUGAGAGUUUAUGAUGGGUACUUGGUAUGUGUUGACUUGACAUAGAUCUCCCCGGCAAUGGCGCCAGAAAUUCUUCCUGCUACCUCUUGAGGUUGCGUUGGUUUUUCCGUUGAAGAGGAAAGGGUGAUGCAGCAAAGUAGAGUAAGUAUUUCCCUCAGUUUUGAGAAUCAAGGUAUCAAUCAUGUAGGAGCCAACGUAGAAGUCACUGAAUACCUGCACAAACAAACACAACUUGCACCCAAUGCGACAAAGGGGUUAUCAAUCCCUUCACAGUUAUUUGCAAAGUGAGACUUGAUAGAGAUGGAUAAACGGUAAAGUAAUAUUUUUGGUAUUUUUUGGUUUAUAGAACGCAAAGUAAAAGAUUUCAAAGGAAGUAAAUAGGAAACUAAAAUUGUAGAUCGGAAACUUCUAUGAUGGAAAGUAGACCCGGGGGCCAUAGGUUUCACUAGAGGCGUCUCUCAAGAUAGAAAAUAUUAAGGUGGGUGAACAAAUUACUGACGAGCAAUUGAUAGAAAAGCACAAAGUUAUGACGAUAUCUAAGGCAAUGAUCAUGAAUAUAGGCAUCACGUCCGUAUCAAGUAGAUCGACUCUUGCCAGCAUCUACUACUAUUACUCCACAUAUCGACCGAGUCCUGCCUGCAUCUGGAGUAUUAAGUUCAUGAAGAACAAAGUAACACAUUAAGUAAGAUGACAUGAUGUAGCGGGAUAAACUCAAGCAAUAUGAUGAAAACCCCAUCUUGUUAUCCUCGACUGUAAUAGUACAAUACGUGCCUUGCUGCCCCUGCUGUCACUUGGAAUGAAAACCACAAUAUUGAACCCAAAGAUAAGCACUUCUCCCAUUGCAAGAAAAACCAAUCUAGUUGGCCAAACUAAAUCGAUAGUUCGAAGAGACUUGCAAAGAUAUCAAAUCAUGCAUAUAAGAAUUCAGAGAAGAACCAAAUAAUAUUCGUAGACAAGCUGAUCAUAAAUCCACAAUUCAUCGGAUCUCGGCAAACACACUGCAAAAAAAGUAUUACAUCGAAUAGAUCUCCAAGAACAUCGAGGAGAACAUGGUAUUGAGAAUAAAAAAGAGAGAAGAUGCCAUCUAGCUACUAGCUAUGGACCCGUAGGUCUAUAGUAAACUACUCACGCUUCAUCGGAAGGGCAAUGGUGUUGAUGUAGAAGCCCUCCAUGAUCGAAUCCCCCUCCAGAAGGAUGCUGGAAAGGCCCCUAGAUGGGAUCUCACAGGUACAGAAGGUUGCGAUGGUGGGAAAAUGUUUUCAUGGCUCCCCUGGUAGGUUUUGGGGUAUAUGUGUAGCGACCCGACCCGAAUGGAUCAAGUCUCUAUGCUUAAGUGUCAUCCCUGGAUCGGUAUGCUGGCACAUAGAGUACUUGAGGAUUUAUAACAGAGGUAAAUCACAUGUAUAAAGUAACGUCAAUACUACUACCUCAAUCCAAAUAGCGGAAGUAACAAUGUUGUGGAUUCCCAUCAACACCAACGACAAAGUUGAGUGUAGAAAUCGUAACCCUAACAUAUCACUUACUCGUCAUAAUAUUCCUACAACAUGAGACGUUGCAGCCACAAAGGGUCAGUACAUUGAAUGUACUAGCAAAUUCACACCAUAGGAUAAAUGAUGAACAAUAGCUAUCACUACAUGCAUAUUUGGCUGGUGGAAAGCUCUAAGUUUAUAAUGUUUUUGCGAAAAGCCAGUUUUUCCCUACUGUAAUGGAAUAUAUUUUAUUUAACAACAAAGUUCGUUGAAAACAUUGAGAAUGGUAAACCCCAUCUCAAUCCCAAUUAAAAGUAAUCAUUAAACCCAACAAAAUUAACUUAUAGUAACAUGAUGAGAUUCACAUGAUAAUCCAGGUACUAGAUACUCAAGACGUCCAUAACCGGGGACACGGCUAACCAUUAUUAGUUUAUACACUCUUCAGAGGUUUGCGCACUUUUCCCCACAAGACUUGAUCGCCUCAGCUGUAUUUUUCGCACUACAAGGUGUUUGACAAAUGGAUGACCGAGACACAGUCUUUCAGAAGCAUUAACUCUAUACUCUGGGUAGACAGUGCCACCUACAACCCACUACAUCUGCUAGUCUACCUCUUCAAGAGCUCACGCAACUUAAUCAACUAUGCUAGGGCCCAUAAUAGCUUGUGGCUGCACACGGAAGUUUCUAGCAUGAAUAAUCUUAUGAUCCCUUUGAGCCUGGGUGGCAGUCCAUAGGAAAACCUCACGGAACCCCAGGAUUUCCAAAAAAACAGGCAACACUGGAUUCCCCAGGUGCCUAAAUCCACCCAGAUGUGUAAUAAAGUUGCCACCUUAAGUUGAACCAUUAAUUAACAAUCUCACAUCUGUCAUGGAUACACUCAAACCCAAUCCACGUCUACGAGCAUAGCAUAGCAAUAUAAGCAUAACGUUGAAGUAACUCCAAGGUUUUGGUAAUAAAUUGGGCAAUAGGUUCUACCUCAUCAACUACUUCCCAAAACCCACAUGUUAAUCACAUCCUACUCAUGCAAUGUUUGAGGGUGAGACUAACGCAUAAAAACUGGGUAUGAAAUGGAUAUGAUCAAAGUGUGAAUUGAUGAAGAUGAUUCGCACUCAACUCCUGAUAGUUCUAUUCGUAUCUCUCCAUUCAAUCUAUUGUAAGCAAGCAAUAGUAACCACACAUAAGCAAUCACUCAAAAGGUCGGAAAGAACGAAAACACAGUUCGGAAAACUCCAAAACCAAGAAAAUAACUCUUGCAAUAGAAAAAAAUUCUAACAAUAACAAGAUUAAGGGAAUUUGCCCUUAUCGGAAAGUUUAGGUCAAGAGCUUCGAUUUGCAAAAAGAAUCAACUCAAACGGAAUUAUAAAACUCGAGUUACGAUCAAACGAAGUUCAAAUACAAAUUUGUUUGAAUUCAAAUUUUAAAACUUUCAAAAACAUAUUUAAGUUGAUUAUUUGGAUAGAGGGGAUCAUAACGAAGAAGUGGGCGUUGGUUUCGUUGGAUUUGGACCAACGGUGCAAAAGUUAUGAGUGUUUGAAAAACAGGGAUUAAUCUGUAAGAAAAGAAUUCACAGAUAGGUCCCUGGCCACAAAAACAAAACUAAUAUAUGAACGUUCGCUUCUGAGGCUUAUAUAGCGAAAACGUCCACUGCCAACACUAAACGAACGAACGUCCAUUAGCUAAACAUACCGGUUUAAAAAUAAAAAACGAAACCUAGAUCUAAUACGGACCAUCGAACCUAGAUCCAACGGACGAGGUGGCUCCGGUGACUUACUGCAGCGGCGGACGGCGUCGGCGGCGAGGAAAUCGGCGGCGUUGACUUGGGUGUGGGCGGUGCGGCGGCUCCGAGGCUCGGCGACUCCGGCGGAGCGGUCGGGGAGGGGCGGCUUGCCGCGGCGCUGACGUGGGUGUAGUCGACGGGGCGAAGCGGGCGGCGGCGGCGAGAUGCGGCAGAGGGCGGCGUGAAGCAAGGAGAGAGAGGGGUCCGGGGCGUCGGGAUUUAUAGGAGGGAGGGGCGAGGUGGCAUGGAGGAGGUGCAAGGGGAUGCCGGGGCGGACACGGCGGCGGCCGGCGUCGUGCGGCAGCGGGUUUCCAAGCAGAGCUCGAGGACGAGCGGGCGAGGGCGUGGGCCAGCUGGGCCGUGGCCUGGCUGGCUGACUGGGCCGGCCCGGUCCGGUCGGUCGAAGAGUUCUUUUUUAAAAACAAAACACAGACAGAGAACAAAAGAAAAACAAAAGAAAUAAAAUAUAUUAUAUAGGCAUAUAAUAUACCAAAAUUUUCAGAAAAUUAUUUCCUACAAGAUGAACAUUAUUCUAGCUUCAAUUAAAAUACACAGAAAUUCAAAUAAAGCAAGGAGUGCUACUGGUGCAAUAAAAUCCAAUCAAAAUCAUUUUUAAAAAAAUAUCAAAAUGAUUUCAAAUUUAUUUCUCUCCAUUUUUCUGUUGUAGGGAAUCAUUUUACCCUAAUUUCCAUAUAUGUUAUUUUUGGAGAAAAAUAAUUUGAAUAAACCCCAAAUAAGUCCAAAUUGAAAAUAAUUUUCAGAUGGGACUUUAAAUUGGAUUCUUUUAAACUCCCAACUCAUAUUUCAUAUGUUUUGAAGAAGUCAUUUUAUCUUCUCUCAUGAAAAUCAUUGAGUUGCUUGAAGUUUCUAAAAUUGAAAAUAUUUCCAAAUGAAAUUAAAAUCUUUUCAAAAACCCUGUUUCAUUUAUUUAAAUGGAAGAAGUCAUAUCAUCUUCUCUCUAGGGUUUUGUGUUGAAAUGAAUUUGAAUUCAUGGAGAUCAUAAAAGCAAGAUGAAAGUUUGGGAAAGUCCUUUUAUUCCCUCUCAUUUAACUUUCAAAAGUUUCAAAAUUCACUCAACUUCACACAAUCAAUCAAACAAUCAAUCAAUCUAUUUAUUUAUUAUAACAUCCCAAAAUUUAGAAUUUUGGGAUGUUACAAUAUGAGAAUAUAUAGGCAGAAGAAAUAGGUCGGUGGAGUCACGAGGGGUCCACAAGGGUGGGGGGCAUGCCCUACCCCCCUGGGUGCAUCCUCCGUCCUUGUGGCCGCCUCGUGGCUUCUCUGACUUGCACUCCAAGUCCUCUGGGUGUCUUUUGGUCCAAGAAAAAUUAUUGCGAAAGUUUUAUUCCGUUUGGACUCCGUUUGGUAUUCCUUUUCUGCGAAACUCAAAAACAAGGAAACAACAAAAACUGGCACUGGCUCUAGGUUAAUAGGUUAGUCCCAAAAAUAACAUUAAAUAGCAUAUUAAUGCAUAUAAAACAUGCAAAACAGAUAAUAUAAUAGCAUGGAACAAUUAAAAAUUAUAGAUACAUUGGAGACGUAUCAGGGUGCGGUUUGCCGAUAGUCGGUUUGCUCAACUGCGGUCCCACAUGAAAGUGAAAAUGCUAGGCAACAUGCCUUCCCUAGCUAUGUUGCAUGCCGGACGGGCCGUGGAGUACUCCCGAUUCCCGGGCGUGUGGGGGUGCGACGCGAACGUGGCAUGCCUUUUCCUUUUACUAGCAAUGUGCCCGUGCGUUGCGAAAGAUCCAAACUAGAAUAGUACUUGUUCACAAACUUGAAAGAAAACACUCUUGUUUUGAUAUACAUAUAUACAACUAAAACUAUAUUACUUUUCACUCAAAAUAUAAUUCCCAGGCUGUUUUGAUGAGAUGAGGGAGGGAUGUGGUUGCUUUCAAGAUAAUAAGGGGUUUUCUGCAAAUUGGAGCAGAGAAGUGGGCUAUUUUUGCAAAAAUGCCACAACUUACCUCACAACCGUUAGAUGCAGAUCUAAUGGUCAGAAAUGAUGGAUGACAGACACACCACCAUCACCAACUGAGUCUUUUAUAGGAGUAGAGAAACAUGUAUAAAUUGUAACAUUUGGUUCUGCUCCUUGGCAUGAUCAAUAGAUAGAAAUAACGAUUGGAAACGCUAGGGCGAGGCUUUUUCCGCCAGAUAAGCAGGGUAGUAGCUAGGUUGGCGCGUCGCCGGUUUGGUCACAUGCAGUCUGACAUGUUGUAGUGAUACUAGCAAGAUGCCUGUGUGUUGCACGAAGUUUAUGGAAAAGGUAAGCACAACUUAUAAAUUGACGGAUGGAGUACUAGUUACAGUGAUGCAUAUAAUUGCCUCCAACUAUGAGCAAAGGGAUCGCACACGUUUGUAUUGACUGGGACAAGAAUGCAAUAGCACAAUAAGAAUAAAGGCCACGAUGAUGCGAUCGCAGUGGUGGUUAUAGGAGGCAAGAAGAAAGAUGCAUCCAUCAACGUACGACCUCCUCCUGCUCGACUCAUUGCGCCGGGCCACCGACCAGCGACUUAGGUGUGGUGGAUUUUGUCGCAAGGUCAAGGUGCUUCUCAACAAAGGCGUCCAAUGCUUCCAGAUGGUUGACGAAGGCCAACAUCGUAGCGUCCUCACCGGACUUGUAGAUGCAAAUGUACACGACUUCCUCAUACACGUGGAUGUGUAGGUCGACGAAUUCUUGUAGGGCGAGGCACCUUGCCUUCGAGCACGGCCUCCAGGUGGAUAUUCUUUGUUGCGUCGGUGGGAAGUCGCAGGGCCACCAAUGCUUGAAAGAGGUUCUCACCAUGGAGGCCGAUUAGGGUGGCACGCAAUGAGUAGCUCGGGCGCGCGGGCUGGAGGAGUACAACAAUGUCAUCCGCGAGCUUCUUGAUGACGGUGAACUUGUUGAUGGUGGCAAGAAUCAUCUGGUCCAACUAAGAGUCGUACCUAGCAUCGACAAUGGCCAUGAACUAGCCGGUCGCCAACACCGUUUGGAGACGAUCCUCAUGCCAUGCCGCAGGCCAGCAUCAUGGACCAUCUGGCACAGCCGCUGGCCAUUUGUGUGCAUCGCUGCCAUGGGUCCAGAGUGAGCACUUUUGCGCUUAGUGUAGGUGCUUAGGUGCGUACGAUGUGGUAGAUGCAUUGGAAUGGAGGGGCGCCUUUAUAUGAGUGCAAACUGCGUUUCAUUCGCAUCGUGCUGCCUCUUUUCCCCAUCCUUCUCACAUUACUUCCCUCAUGCAUUCAACAUGCUAAUUGAAGGAGGAUGCAUCAUUGGUCGUUCAGCAUUUCAGGAAACUCUACCCUCUCCCUCGUCUGCAUUAAAGCCGUGUCGGGAACUAUCCUGAUUUACUAGUAGCUAUCAAAUCGAAUAGUACUGCACCGUCCGCUACACGCCCGGGUAAACGCGCCUCCUCGCCACCAUCAAAUGCUUCCGUUAAACCCACAUGCAAACUGAGAAACCUACUCUGUCCACACGUCCGUUCAUGAGCGGGCCGGAAUUAAACGCAACGCCGGCUGAGUUCCUCCCGUCCGCCCUUAGUUUAAACAAGGCUAGACGCCGGCCAAGCUCCUAUCCUCCGCCCUCUAUUUAAACGAGGCCAAACAGCGGGCAAGAAUCGCACCCCUCCGCCGCUCCCCCAUUUCCUCCUUUACCAUUUUCACCACUCUUCCGAUGGCUUCCGAGGAGCCGUUCUCCGGCACCCUCCGGAUACGAGCGAGGCCGCUCGGUGCUUCACCUACCUCGCCUGGCCCGACAGAGCCAGUUGCCACCCCAAGCCGGCGUUUGGUUCAGCAACUCACCGCUCUAGUUAAGCUAGAUGAGGAGUGGCGAGUUGCUCCAUGCCGGCACGGCGGCGAGCAUGAUGGCACGGGCGUCGUCGCUGCCGCGCCACCAGUGGAUGUGCCUCCCAUGUCAGCGGUGGACGCGCCUCUUGUCUGUGGGCGAGCCUCCCGUGCCUGCGGUAGCGCCAUGCGGGCAGAGAAAGAAGCCAGGUGCAUGGAGAGCGAUGAGUCGGUGGCCAUCUUCUCCUUAUCCGCUGCCAACAUCUAGGAGAAGUAGAACAUGGGAGGCCACUGCCACUUGGGUCCCAUGAAGGCUACCACCGAGGCGACGACUGCGUAUAUAGGUGGUCUCUUGGCUGCUUUGUCUGUUGCAAUGACAUUCAUUGACCACGCAAGUGUCUGCCGGACAUGAGGAAGACAAGGGGAUCCAUGGGAGGCCAUUUAGAUUAGGUGUUAAUUAUACCACGAGAGUCGGAUUAGCACCGCUUCAUUCAUGUAAAUGUAAUGAAAUCUGCCGUGGUUAUAUGAAGAUCCGACUUUUUUAUACGAAAUCCUUCAUGCUUAUAUGAAAUCAGUCGGUGUUUGCACGAAUUUCCUAUGGUUGGUUAGAGUUGUGAAAAUGUAUGCCACUGGCGUUGGAUGUCGUCCUCCGCGGAAGGAAGCAGGAGGAAAUUUGCCAGUUGCCUUCCAUUUGAGUUAAUUGCAUGUAUGAUUCUCCCUCUAUAAAAAGUUAAUUGCAUCCUUAAUCUUGUAUUCUAAGUACUCUGUGGGUUCCACUGUCAGUACAAUGUACAUGACUUGCAGGCUGGCUAUAGAUUCGCACAGAAAGUUAAAAAGAAAAAAAUCCAUCCUUAAUCUUAUAUUCUAAGUACUCUAUGGGUUCCACUGUCAGUACAAUAGCGAAAGAAGUAUAUUUUAGAAAAUAUAAAAAACUAAAGUUUAGGAUAGAAUUCGAACUUAGGUCAUCACAUUGUGAGCAUCCGACCCGGACCAGUACACUAGAUGUUCGUUGUGGACGAUGCAAGAGAUAUAUCUCUAUAGCAAUGUGCCCAUCCGUUGCAACCGAUCCAAAGUAGAAUAAUACAUAUUCACAAAUUUGAAAGAAAACAAUUUAGUUUUGAUAUACAUAUCACUAAAAAUAUCUUAUGUUUCACUCCAAAUAUAUUCUUUGGGAUGUUUUGAUGAGGUAAGGGAGGAAUGUGGUGGGUUUCAAGAUACUAAGGGGUUUUGUGUAAACUGGAGCAGAGAAGUGGGAAUUGUUGCAAAAAGGCCGCCACAACUUACAUCACAGCCAUUAGAUGCAGAUCUAAUGGUCAGAAAUGGUGGAUGGCAGACACACCAUCAUCACCAACUAAGUCUUUUAUAGGAGUAGAGAUAUCUAUAUCUAUCUAUAUCUAUCUCUACUCUUAUAAAAACAGAGUUGGUGAUGAUGGUGUGCCUGCCAUCCUGCAAUAUAGGCCGUCCAAUUUAUAUCUGAUGGAUAGGAAGGAAACUAUGGCAAUUUGGCAAAAAUAUACCCACACCCCUCUCCACAUUUGCAAUAAGGUCUUCCCUUGUUCAUCCUUUUCUCUCACAAGAUAAACAACUCAUACAAAUGCAUCUUGAUGUUCCGUGCAACGCACGGGCAUCUUGCUAGUAUACUCUUAUAAAAAAUAGAGGUGGUGAUGAUUGUGUGCCUCCCAUCCUACAAUAUAGGCCGUCUGAUUUAUAUCUGACGAGUAGGAAGGAAACUAUGGCAAUUUUGCCAAAAGAUACCUACACCUCUCUCCACAUUUGCAAAUAAGGCCUUCCACCGCUCAUCCUUUUCUCUCACAAGAUAAACUACUCAUACAAAUGCAUCUUGAUGUUCCGUGCAACGCAUGGGCAUCUUGCUAGUUUUUUUAAAUAGUUACUGCGAUAAUUGGGUUGAAGUGAUAUAUUUUAUGUCUGCCCCGAAUGAUCCCAAAUUCACUAGUAGUAACAAAGAAAAAGUUACCUUAUUAAUUAACAAAAUACAGGGUGAAAACUAUCAAAUGAGGUCGUUAAAAACAAGGCACAUUGAGUUCAGCAUCAUCGUCACUACAACUGUGUGUGCGCGAGAAUUCUACAUAUCGAGGGUGCAACGAGGAGAAAGAUGUAUCGAGUGUGUGUGAGCGAGUCAUAGAGACACAACUUGAGCACAUAUGUGUGUGUGUGUGUGUUUGAGAGAGAAACCAAUUGAUCGAUUAAGAUCAAGAUCGAGUUGUCACCCAUCUGCUGUCAUUGUUGGGGGGUAGGGAGGGGGAGUGAGAGAAAGACGUAUUGAGACUAUGCACGCGGUAGGCACAAAGGCACGAAUAGCGAGUGUGUGUGUGUGUGUGUUUGAGAGAGAAGCUAGUAUAUAGAUUAGUAUCAAGAUCGAGGUGUCACCCUACUCCUUCGGUGUCGAGAAGUGUGUGUGUGUGUGUGUGUGUGUGAGUGAGUGAAAUCUCAAAACAAAAGGUGCUAUGAUGGAAUCCCAUUGUACGUCUUCAUAUGGUCCCGGGACUCGAGUUAACCUUACACAUAUGUGCGCGAGACAUAGUUAUACAUUGAGACAUUAGUGGCGGUGGGUGGGAGGAAUUAAAGCGAUCGGCAUGUUCGAUAGAGAGAGCCUGUGUGUUUUUGUGCGAGAGACUUGUAGGAUGGGAUAGAAAGAUGAAUUUUAACCUUAACAGCGGGAGAGAAAUACACAAAGUGUGCGUGUGUGAUUCGGAUGCACACGGAGAAAUGAGAUGUGUAUGCAUGUGAGAGAGAUUGAACAAUUCAUUUACGUAUCACUAUCUAGCGAUCGUGGACGUGCAUCGUAUGAACAUAAAUCAAUAUCUACUUUGUAGCAUGGCCAAAUAUACAAUAUCGAUUCAACGCUAUAAAGAUUGGACACUCACAUAUCACAUUUUUUCCAAAUAGUACUUGUCAAUUGUGCAUGCCAAAGUUACAGUGACGUUUCCUCAAACUACCACUGUAGUUAUCAUGAACAUGCACCAUUAUUAGUUUUGCAUCCAAAUUCAUUAGUCUUGGAUGAUUUAGGUUCUAUUAUGAAGUAAUAUAUGUAAUAUUCAUAUAUGAAUUCAACUGGUAUGCAAUUUAUGAAAUGGAGGCCAUGUGAUCAUAUGAGGUAACACUUUUAAGUAGCGAACUACAAUAGUGCCUCUAUAUUUAAAUUAACACGUCAAUGCAUUAUGUUUAAAAUAAAUAAAAUGGCACUAAAUUAUAAAUUAACAUGAGAAAUACAUAGGCUGAGCAUUUGAUCCAUUUUUUGUGAACGCGCUUCUAUAGUCGUACGAUUGGCCGCUCCUGUGUGAACGUCCAAGUUAUCGGUGCAUCGUCCCGAGUUAUUUUUUUCUGGGGUGGACUUCAUACCAGUUAUUAAAUGCUGAUCUGUGCCCCGUGUACAUAGUCUCGCAUGACCUUCCCGCUAGCACUAUCCAAAAUUAGUUGAAACUGGAUACGAACGACCCUACGGGCGGCAAAAUCUCCUGCCUCCUUCUAAAAUUUCUACCACCUAGUCUUUAGCAUGCGAAAUUCCCCUUUUGUCCUUGGUGCACGGAGAACAAUAGUUACAAUAUGGCCCGGAUACGUCUCCAAUGUAUCUAUAAUUUAUGAAGUAUUCAUGCUGUUAUAUUAUCAUUCUUGGAUGUUUUACAAUCAUUUUAUAGCAACUUUAUAUAAUUUUUGGGGACUAACCUAUUGACCCAGUGCCCAGUGCCACUUGCUAUUUUUUGCUUGUUUUUUACAUCGCAGGAAAUCAAUAUCAAACGGAGUCCAAACACCGUGAAACUUUUUGUGGAUUUUUAUGGACCAGAAGACAUCCAAUGGGCCAGAGAAGCACAUGGGGGUGCCCCGAGGGGGCACAACCUACAAGGGCGCGCCCAGGUGGGUUUUGCCCACCUCGGUGGCCUCUCCCACCCCCUCUUUGCCCUAUAAAUCACUAAAUAUUCCAGAAACCCUCGGGUGAGAAGUUUCACCGCCACAAGCCUCUACAGCCAAGAGAAACCAAUCUAGACCAUGUUCCGGCACCCUGCCGGAGGGGGGAAUCAUCACGGUGGCCAUCUUCAUCAUCCCGGUGGCCACCAUGAUGAGGAGGGAGUAGUCCACCCUCGGGGCCGAGGGUUUGUACCAGUAGCUAUGUAUUUAAUCUCUCUCUCUCUCUCUCUCUAUAUAUAUAUAUAUAUAUAUAUACAUAUAUAUAUAUAUAUAUAUAUAUAUAUCGUGUUCUUGAGAUGUCAAGAUCUUGAUGUAUAGUGGGAUAUGUUAAUAUAGUCAGAUCAUAUGGUGUUUCCCCUCUCUAUGUUGUGAUGAAUUGAUUUUUCCCUUGAGAUUUCGUUUUAUCGGAUUGAAUACUUUUAUGGAUUUGAAAACACUUUUAUAUAUGUCUUGCUAUGAAUACCUGUGGAGACAGUGGGGUAUCGUAUUGAUUCACUUGAUAUAUGUUUUGGCACUCAAUUCACCAAAGGUGACAUUGGGGUAAUCUAUGCAUAGGGGUUGAUGCAUGUUCUUGUCUUUGUUUCUCUGGUAGAAAUCUUGGGGCACUCUUUGAGGUUCUUUGUGUUGGAUUGAGUAUUAUGAAUCUCAAAUUAUUUGGUGUUAUUUGAGUAUGAACUCUUGGAUAGAUCGAUCGGAAAGACAUGGUUUGCUCUUUAUCAUACUAACCUAUCUCACGAAGUUCCGUUAAGUUUUUUGUGAUUGAAGUUUUCAAGUUUUAAGGCAGCUUAUAUAUUAUGAGUAGGAAAACAUUUUUCAAACAAGUAAUAAAUCAUAUCCUCGGGACUACACACACAACCAAGAGCAAGAGUAUUAUACCAAGCCUUAGCAUCACCCUUUAGUGAGAAUGGAAAUUAUUUGAGAAUAUAAUAAUAGUGAAUCUUCUCAUCAUGUGCAAAAAAGGGUGGCUAUAUCAUUCAACUUAGUAAGAUGUGCCACAACAGUUUCAGUUUCAUAACCAUGGAAAGGAUCAGAUUCAACCAAAGUAAUUAACUUUGGGUCGAUAGAGAAUUCAUAAUCCUUAUCAUCAACAAAGAUAGGUGAAUUAGCAAACUGAGGAUCACAUUUUAGUUUAGCAUUCAAAGUCUUUUCUUUGUACUUGCAUAAUAUUUUUUCCAAAUCAUCUCUAUCCUUACAAGAAAGAAUGUCUCUAGUUGUCUCCUCAUCCAUAAUAUAACCUUCUGGCACCUUUGGCAAUUCAUAACUAGGAGAACUAGUUGUAAUAGGUGUUUCAAGAUUUCUAGUUUUAAGUUCUUCAUCAGUUUCCACAAUCUCAUUUUGUCUUACUCUAGCAAAUUGUUCAUCAAGAAAUUCACCUAGUGGCACAUUAUCAUCAAGUAAGAUACUGGCAUCAUCAUGAGUAGCAUUCAUAGCAGAAGUGGCAUCAUCAAUAACUUGCAACAUAUCAGGAUUUGUAACAUGUGGUGGUGUUGCAAGUCUACUUAUAACAGAAGGUGAAUCUAAAGUAGAGCUAGAUGGCAGUUCCUUACCUCCCCUCAUCUUAGAGGGAAAAAUCUUAGUCUUAGCAUCCUUCAGAUUCUUCAUAGUUAUAAUUUGGUAAUCAUCCCAAGUGAAUCCACAAAUAUAGCUAUGCUCCCCAGCAACGGCACUAGAAAAAGGUUGUGAUAACCCACAAGUAUAGGGGAUCGCAACAGUUUUUGAGGGUAGAGUAUUCAACCCAAAUUUAUUGAUUCGACACAAGGGGAGCCAAAGAAUAUUUGCAAGUAUUAGCAGCUGAUUGUCAAUUCAACCACACUUGGAGAUUAAUUAUCUACAGCAAAGUGAUCAAUAGCAAUGUAGUAUGGUAGUUUUGAUAGUAGUAGCAACAGCAAUAGUAACAAUAACAGUGAUAGCAAUGGUUUUGUAGCAAGUGCAAUAGUGACAGUAGCAGUAGUAACUUAGCAAGAACAAUAUGAGAGAAAUUCGUAGGCAUUGGAUCGGUGGAUUCGUUGGAUGAUAUUCAUCAUAUCACAGUCAUAACCUAGGGCGAUACGACACUAGCUCCAGUUCAUAAAUAUAAUGUAGGCAUGUAUUUCGUAAAUAGUCAUAUGUGCUUAUGGAAAGAACUUGCAUGACAUCUUUUGUCCUACCCUCCCGUGGCAGUGGGGUCCUAUCGGAAAAUAAGGGAUAUUAAGGCCUCCUUUUAAUCGGGAACUGGAACAAAGCAUUAGCACAUGCUUGAAUACAUGAACUCCUCAAACUACGGUCAUCAUCGGGAAGUGUCCCGACUUCUGUCACUCCGGGUUUGUCGGAUCAUAACACAUAGUAGGUGACUAUAACUUGCAAGAUGGGAUCUAGAACAUAGAUAUAAUGGUGAUAACAUAAAUGGUUCAGAUCUGAAAUCAAGGAACCCGGGCCCAAUGUGACAAGCAUUAAGCAUGGCAAAGUCAUAACAACAUCAAUCUCAGGACAUAAUGGAUACUAGGGAUCAAACCCUAACAAAACUAACUCGAUUACAUGAUGAAUCUCAUCCAACUCUUCACUGACCAGCAAACCUAUGAAGGAAUUACUCACUCUCGGUGGGGAGCAUCAUGGAAUUGGCGAUGGAGAAGGGUUGGUGAUGACGAAGAUCAAAAAUCCCCCUCUCUGGAGCCCCAAACGGACUCCAAUUCUGGAAUCCCGAUGAAGAACAGGAGGUGGCGGUGGCUCCGUCUCGUGAAACGCGAUAAUUCUUUCGCCCUGAUUUUUUUCUCCAAAUAUUUUAUUUUACAUUAUCAGGGUUGAAUUCUAUGGGUCCACCAGGUGGGGACAACCCACCUGGGCGUGCCUGGAGGGGGGCGCCCGAGUGGGUUGUGCCCACCCAGGUGCCCCUCUCCAGUGGUUCUUGGCUCCAGAAAUUAUUAUUUAUUGAAUAAAAAAUCCUCGCAAAGUUUCGUGCCAAUUUCUGCACAAAAACAACACCAGGGUAGUUCUACUAAAAACAACAUCAGUCCGGGUUAGUUUCAUUCAAAGCAUGCAAAUUAGAGUCCAAAACAAGAGGAAAAGCAUUAGGAAAAGUAGAUACAUUGGAGACGUAUCAGCGCUUGUGCUCGUCCGAGCGGUAGUUUCACCCGGCAUCCACAUCGAGCAUCUCCACAGAGUGAACGACGGUGAUCCAUACGACCGCAACUGGGUGUUUGAGCGCCCGUAUGAAGGCAAUAAUACCUCCAUUUGAUCAUCCGUAGCCAAUGAACCUCAUUAGCAACUAUGUUUUCUUUUAUUUCUUUUUGCUGGUUUCGUAUACCGAACCGAUGGUUUUAUUUUGUGUGUUAUUUUUGUAGGGGCUUGGACUUAUGUGGUAACAUGUACGGUAUUGCCAACCAUAUAAAAGAGUUACAGAAGCUGCUUGGUUGAUUCAUCAUGAUGAACUUCACAGACAAGUGCACGGUAACAUUUUCCAAUACGAACCCCGCUCAAAUAAAAGUCUCUUAGUAUCGAGUUUCUCACCUUAAGUGAGAAUAUCCCUUUUAAAUUAGGCACCUAGGAGUUGAACACUUGUGUUUUACCUUGUCUCACACGCACUUCAUCCAAACCUAAGGGUAGAUAACUCUUAGAAAUAGUUUGUUGACUUAAGCGAGGUGCUUAGGUUAAUGAACACAUCAUUGUGAGGCAUAUUUUUUACCACUUGUGUUGAUAAUCCUUUGUGCUACAAAAAAUGAAAACUCAAAAAUCACAAAAAAAUUGUUUUCUUUUAGUUCGUUUCCAUCAUGUUUUACAACAAGGAGAUCAAUUGAAGCAAGGUCCAUGCCUAUUAGAAGAGAGGUCAUAUGUGCCUCAACGGUAAAAGCCUUUGCUUAACUAAGCUUAGGGGAGGUAGCCACUUCGCAUGCUCUCUUUUAAUAAGUGCAUUUUCUCCUUAUUCUAUUAAUCUUCUCUAGUUUAGUAUUGCAAAGUUCUAAGCGUGGGGAGGUUACUUUUGCAUGUGUAGUGUCUUGUGCAAUGAUCUUCAUCAUUUGGUUUUUGUGCAUUAAUGUGCCCCGCUGUUUUGACAUGCUUGCUUUGCACUUGUUUGACUUAGCUUGUGGGAAUCUUAUUAUCUUGUGAAAAACAUUGCCAUGUUCAUUUAUCAAAAACCCAAUAGAGGAAUCCAUUGAACUGUUUCCUUUCAUUCACCUAAUUACAUAAGUUGGGGACUCUAGUGAUGGUUUGAUUAGCAAUUGAAUGAUUGUAAAGGCUUUUUGCUUAUGAACCCAGCAUCUUUGGUUGAUCCAAGACGCGCAAUAGGGUUCAUCUCCACCAAACCAUCCCGUCCGGGUACUUAGCUUUUGAGCCUUAUGCAACAUGACACCGUCGUACUCUUGUGUAUGUAGUGUUUGAGUGCUUUAUGACUAAGGCAAGUUUGAAACCAUUGCACUUCCGUUCAUAUUUUAUUACUAGCCUCUAAGGUACCGUGCAUUGCCCACUCUCACAUUCAGACAUGUAGCAAACUUCACAGGUGUCACACCCUGGUUUACAUGGCACAACACUUAAAGUGAUGAAUAAUGAUAAGAUGUGGUUUGACAAAAACUUUUGAGUGGUUUAGACUUUGCCUUGAUUGGAUUUUGUGUGUUGUUUUCAGGUGCUCUAAAAAUCAAAUAAAUCCUCCAACUCUUAUACUCCUUCUCCUUGAUCCAAAACUUCUGCCCAAUGAUCAUGCCAUGUGUAUAGUACAGUAUAGAAUUUUCUUAUAAAAAUAAUUUGGCCAAAAAGUAUUUUUCUAAAUUUAGUUUUCCAAAACCCCCUAGAUUGAGGUUGCACUACCAUACUUGAUUUGGGGUAUGAAAAAUAUUUCAAAGAGUAUAUUUGAAACCUAUUAGAUAUAGGAAUCCCAUAAAUCACAAAAAUAUAAUUUUAAAAGUAAUUUUCCUAUUUUAUUUAAAGGCUUUUUCUUUAGGCCAAAAAUGGUCUUUGAUAGGUUAAAUUAUUUUAAUGCUUUUAAAAAUAUUUGUAAAAAUUUAGGGAAACUCAGUUGGCAUAUAUUGUCCAUAUAUAUGAGUUUCAACACAUGGUCAUAUUCAAAAUAUUGGUUAAAUCCCUCAAAAACCCUUCCUGGAUAUUCCAAGCUUUUGAAAUAUUUACAAAGAAACUGUUCUCUAAAAAUUCCAAGAAACUUCUAGCAUGUCACAUAUGACAUAUUUGAUGAUCUGGCCAAGCCUCAUGUCAUGGAGAAUAGUAUAACCCCAUGAAACCCUCUCAAAACCAUUUCUGCCCUUUUCCAAGUUUGAACAACUUUGCAUUAGCAAACUUUCCCAGAUACUCUCAAGAUUGGUCCAGAUGCUAAAAUAGUCUAAUAAAUCAUCUAGACCAAGUGGCACAAGUUCGAGAACAAGUUAACUUGAUCAAAGUGCCCCAAAACCCUUCUUGUCCAGAACCAAAUUUGAACAACUCUACAUUGGAAACUUUCUCCUUUUGAUCUCAACUUUUGUGGACAUGUUCAGAACCUCAAAUGAUGACACUACACCAAUUGGUGCAUCAAGGAGAAUAGAUUUGCAUGACUAAAUCUUGGGAAGUCCAUUUCUGUUGAUUUCUAGGGUUUACAAAAGUUGCAUUGGCAACUUUGCCAAAUGGACUCAAUAUUGGUGGAACCUCUUAUUUUCUCAUACCAUUUGACCUUGUCAAGCCUCAUGACAAGAGGAGUUCAUCUUCUUGCCCAAACCACCAUCAAACACCUUUGGCAGAAAUUUAAAAUGCAUGUUUUGGCCAUUUUCCACUAAUCUCCAUGAGCUCAACUUUUUCCCACAGCCCCAUCUGGUCCUCCUCCAACCCCUGCAUCUUCCCCUGCCAGAGAAGCCAUGAUGAAGGGGGUGAAAAGCCCUUUUUCCCCCUCUGGACAUCAGCUUUCCUCCUAUUUUCUCACCUCUCUCUCACUCCUGGCAAGCCCCAGGGCAUCCAAUGCCUUUUACCACAUUGUUUACUCCCCUGUGCAGCCACUAGACACUAGUGGACACGCGAGUGCGCGCAGAAAAGCCGUGGAUGCCGGCCAUUUGCGCGCUCUGGAGCAUGUCAGCGUGCUCCUGACCGUUGACGCCGCGUCUCCCGACCACCUCGAGCCUCCCCCUCGCGCCAGUCGAUUUGCCUCGACGUCCGCAACACACCACCGCGCUGGCCCCCUCCUUUCCCCCUCUGUCUUGCCCAUGCCGCGCGUGCCCAGAGCCGCCCGAGCCCGCCAAUGCGUGUGCGAGCUCGUGGCUCCACCCGGAGCUCGCCCCGCUCCCUCUCUCCCUUCCUGGUGCCCUACUCGACUCCCACGAACAUCAUAGACAGCCCGAGCCUCCUCCCGUGGCGACUGCGGCCAUUUCUGCUGGUGCCCGUAGGCCACGUCCACGGUGAGCCACGGCCUCGCCAUAUAAGGUCGCCCCUGACCCCCCUCUGGAGCUCCUUUGCUCUCUCUCUCUCUCCCGUGCACCCCCUAGACCAACCUGCACCUCCUCUCAUGCCCUCCUACUCCCUCCAUGGCGGGAGUGCCGCCGUCGGUCUCCGCCCAAAUUCCCGCAAACCAAAGCCUCCCCUCUCCUCCUUUGGACACCAAUGGAGCCACCGCACGCCGGGGAGGCUCCUCCGCCCUUUAACUCCUCCUCUAGCGCCCCGCAACCCCCAGAACCCCUCUCACCCGACGCCACCUUCCACCGCGGGUGAAGCCCUGCUCCCGUCCGGUGACGCAGGCACCCGUGGUGGGGCCUCGCUGGUUCGUCUCUCUUUGCUGAGCACGCCGGUGGCCGGUCCUCCGAAAACGGUGGUCGGUAGCGCCGCCGGCCGCUGUCAAGCGCUUGAUCUGUCUUCCGUCCCGCCCGCGCAGGAGGUAGCGGACGAACCUGCAGCUGGGCCCCACUUGUCGGCCGGCCAGUGGGCAGGGGCCACUGACGGGUGGGCCAUGUCUCGCCCGCUUAAGUGGAGGCGGCAUAGGCGGCAUUCCGUCUUCGCCACAGGGAGGCGCAAUCUGCGAAGGCGCUAUCGACGUGGCCCCCAGCACGUGCGUGGCCAUGCAGUUGGGCCGGCCCAGUUGCGCCUCGCUGUUAAAUCCCACCCAGUGCGCGCUGCCGCCACUGGAAUUUGGCCCAUUAGGUAUUUCCAUUUACAUUUUCUUUUUGAGCAAGAUUCAAACUUUUCUAGAGACCGCAUUUCAAGUCCAAAUCUGAUGAUUCAAAUUUUCCGUGACUCCAUAAAUCAAUAUCUAUUUAACGAGCCAUAGUGAACAUUUUUACACUGCCUAGUUUCACCUGGAUCUGACAAAUAGGUCAUUUAUACUCCUAAACCAACUUCAAAAAUCCAUAAAAUAUUCAUUUGAACUCCAAAUCCAGUGAAACCAAUUUCUAAAUGUUUCUAAAAUCAUGCCUGAUUUAAUGGGUACUUUUAUUCAUUUUUAUAAAAAGUAAUUCUGUAGACAACUUGCAGAUCCAUUAAAUCCCUUGGUUCCAAUAUAUUGAAAUGUUCAGAAAUAUCCACUUAUCCAAUUCCAUUGAAAUCACUUUGGUCAUUCCCCAUAUGACCAGAGGUAUCCUAGAAAAGUCCAACUUGUAUUUUUAGAGCACUUUUAUUUUUGCCUUGUUGUGUUGCUUAUUGUGAUUGUCUCCGGCGUUAGUUGACGAAGUAGACGGAGUACUUGGAGAAGGACCAGAAGAUUUCAAGACUCUGAUGAACCAGGCAAGCAGCCUUUGACCAUGUCUACGAAACCCUUUUUAUGCAUGUCAUAUAACACUUUAUUAUUGUUGCAUCGGAAUCAUGAUGAGGUGGUAACCACUUUGGUGGGUUGCCUUCGUUACUUCCUUGUUCAUACUUGCAUUGGGCAUGACCCUACGUUCCUAUGAGGGUUAUGCCGGUGGGAGUAGAUAGGAUGCUAAAGUAGUUGCUACGCAAAAGGGACGGGAUUAUGCAUGGUGAUGGAGGCAAAGUAUUUACAAAAGACUUUUUGAAAACCCCGUCGGGUGCCACUUAUGCCCGAGGGAGGUAAUGAGAUGGAUAACCACUUGAUGACGAAGUGGUGUACCGAGGCAAGCGUGAGUGUUGUUUUCAAAAAUGGAUUGGUUUAAGUUGCGACCGUUAUUCCAACCUUACAUGCGCAACCACUCUACCCUUGUAUGGGAAAGGGCAUUAUUGAUUACCUAGGUCGAUACUAGCUUGGAGCCCGCAUUACUAGUGACGGGGGAGAGUUGGUGCUCUCUCUCGGGACGGGGUCGUGCUAGGUAGGGCGGCCAAGAACAUUUUUAUGGGGCACCGGACACACCAUUGGUACCCCGUGCUUGUGAUGUGAGAUGAUUAUGGAGCAUGGCUCCACGAAAAUGUUAUGUGAUAAUGUUGGGAACGGGGGUUACUACCAAUCGAGUGGACUCCAUGUUAGUGUCGUCUAGGAAAAGGUAGUGAUCGGGUGCUUACCCCGGGUACUUGAGGUAUCGCGGGUUGUGGAUGACACGGAAGUUCCCCGGAUCUUGUGGGUAAAGUGUGCACCCUCUGCAGAGUGUAAAACUAUUCGAAUAGCCAUGUCCAUGGUCAAGGACAGUUGGGUAACCGCUCUUGGGCUACGUCCAUAUGUUUCUGAAAAACAACACAGUUUGGUGAUAUUGAUGAUGUGACUCGCAAGGAAGUCACGAUGAGCUUGAGCAUGAGUUGUUCAUAACUCUUUCUCGAUGUUGAUGUCUGUAACCUCCUGAUACUUGUUGCAGACGCACUCAUGUCCUUGAUAAACGUUGAUCAUACUUACAUGAGAAAAACUAGCUUUCCGCAAAAAUGCCAAUUAAGCAGUAGAGCUUUGCAUAAUUCUUUUGUUGUCACUCUUGGGUUGCUUGCGAGUACAUUCAAACGUACUCACUGGCUUGUCCCUGGCUAUUUACUUGGCCAGGCUUGAAAGAGCAGGUAUACGAAGAAGCGAUUUUGGUGGCGAUCAUGCGAGCUAGGACGCUUCCCAGUCAAAAUGCAUGUAGGGUUAAGGCAGAUGGCAUGGGUCCAAGUUAUCGAUGAAGAUUUCCACUGCAAUGUUAUAUUCAAGACUUGACCAUAAUGUUCAUAAUUUAUGUAAGACGGUAUGUAUGGAUGUAAGACUCUUGUUAUUCAGCUUCUGUGUGUUCAGUGAGCAUUGAUCUCUGGGAUCACUGUACAUGUGCAUUCGGUGAUCACGACUUAUGAGUUGGGGUCCCCACAGAGCUGGUAUCAGAGCCAUCCUGACUGUAGGAAGCCUUAGUUAGCAUGGUCGUUAGUUAGGGUAAAGCUAUUUUCAAAACUAUUAGUAAUUUUCAAAACUAUCUAUACUUCUUUUCCCCUUCUGAGUUUUUCGAAAACUAAGAUAUACUUUCCUCUUCCCCUUCAAAUUUAAUGGUCGCUAGAAUCCUUAUGCCCCUGACCACGAGAUUCCUUGAAAUCCUCAUGGAUAAUCUAGAAGGAAGACGCCUUGCCAGACACUCACCCACCUCUUUUGAACACAAGAUUGGCAACACCACAGCAAGACGAUGCCAACAGAAGGUACGCCCUCAAGGAAUGAGGACAUGAAGACCCAAAGGAUGGUGACACCUUUGAAAUUGCCCCAGGAUUAUGAAACCUUGGCCUAUGAUGACCAAGGCAUAGGAUAAGCAAGAUCAUGAUAUACAUCUUUAGUAGAGCAACCCUGCCCUUGUCAUUGUUGCAUCGGCAACCGCUGGUGGAUGAGAACCUAGCCAUUUGGUCCGCCUCACUAUAGUGAGCAAGAAAAUGGUUCUCUUCAUCCCCCGCUCUCGGUGACGAUACUAGCAACAGUGUGUCUGGCAGAAUGGACCUCUACUAUGCAUUGUUAGUGUUGUUACAUAAAGGAUUGCCUACCUGGUACAAUCAACGCCUUAGAAGGCAAGAGGGAUCAUCAUGAUUAAGAAGACAAGAGGAGACCAAGUCAAUACCAGCUACGAGGAGCCACCGUCAGCCCAUCACUUCAACAGGCGAGAAGUUGCUGAAGACUCUUCAAGAUCAACCUAGAUCGUUCCAUCAAACAACUACGGGAGACAUAGCGACACCUGAGGAAAACUCAGAAGACUGCACGAGGCACGAAGCAAAGCACGACUACUGAAUCCGAGAACCCCUAGGGUAGGAUGAGUCGUGUAACCCCUAUGCGCAGUCGAGUCCAUAUGAUGGUCCGAAUAGAACCAUGAUUGUGUGUUGCUUGUUUUAUUUGUUUGUGUUUUGAUAUCAGUCGCUCUUUUUGCCCUAGGCCACAAGUACGUGACUAUAUCACCUUCCUUAUCUUAAUGCUUGUGUUUGGCCCUUUCGGCACUUGUUGCUUGCACUUGCACUAUAGAACCCCCUUUAGGCAUCCCCCUCCUCUAUGCUACUUUUCCCUCUCGUCUCCCUCUCCUCAGCCGAAGACCGACAAGACAAGGUACACCAAGGAUUCUACUUCGACAACCAACUAGCGCUAAAGACUUUUGCUACAGCCUCCUUGACCAAGUGCAACCCCGUAGAGUCAUGUUUAGUCCUCCAGACUGGAAACCCAUCCCUAGACCCUUCGAGACUCCACGAGAUACCCCAACUUGAAUCCUUAACCAUGUGCUUAACCCACAGAAUUGCAAGAGAACCCUUUAAGCCUCCGUAACCUUGCACAAAAAUGGAUUCAUUAUGGAACUAGUAGACGUAAUGAGCAAGCACAUUGUCACCCUAAUAUAGCACAAGAAUUGACGAUGCCAUAGGAAAGACCAGUUUAAAGAUAUAGGAAUAGAGGACAAAUGACUUGAUGGAGCUAUACUAGUAACCUUGAGAAUGUAUCCGACACUCUUUGGUGGAGUAUGAGGUCUCCAUAUUGGUAGAUGAACUUGGUGGAAUCAUGUGGAUAGAGUAGCAUAGCUUUCUUCACCCCGGAGUAAAUUUGGAUUUAAAUAGGUGAUCCUAGUGGAGUAUAGAUGUUGAGUAAGUCUACAUUGUUCGGAGUAAAUUGGAUUUAGACUGAUGAUCUCGAUCGUGAUACCAUGUUUCUCGGUGGAUGACAAACUAGGAGAUUGGAUAGUUGCCGGAGUGUAUUUAGGAAUCUAUAAAAGCUGAACUUGUUGUUUACUUGACAAUGAUAGAUGGAAAUUGGUGGACUUACUAUAAGCAGAGAUAACCCUUUCAAGUAUUUGGGGAUUAUAUGGACUUUAGGAGAUCACGUGGAACACCAUAAACUUUGGAUUGGUAGAAUUAAUGGAUUGUGUAGUGAUUGAUGGAACUUAAUGGGCUGUUGGGGUUGACUCAUAGGAAGGAAACAAGAUCUUGGAGUGGCAUAUGACGUUUUUCCUUAGGGUAGAGAUGCACUAUCUUGGACCUUGGAAGGAUAGGCUGAGCACUUCGAUUGUCAUGAUUGAUUCAAGCUUGGAAGCUUGUAUAUUCUGCCCAUGGAUUUUUGCAUAGGGAUAGCCAUACACAUGAGUUUGGGAUAGUUGACGUGUAUGAUUUUUGUUACCUCCUCUCGAGGGUCAGGAGGACAUGAAUAACCUGAGUGGCGAUUGGAGUUUAUCUAUAUGAGAUGGUGCUUUCGGUGAUAUAAAGUGAUUUGUUUGGAAGACUAGAUAGAAAAAUUGGCAUCUCACAAACUGUGCUUAAGGAUAAGAUGAUAAACGUUCACCCACACACUAGAAUCCUUGAAACUCCUAAGACCCACCAAGCCACAACAUGGUUGGGUCAUGACCCUGGGCCUUGACUCUAGGUCGAGAAGACCUUGGCCAAUACUCAACCGUGACCACCACCAAUGCCUCAGCCUACCUUAUGUACCCCAUGAACGGAUACUUCACGGAGAACUUGGAUUGGUGACCUACUUGUCUAACCGAAGACCAAAGAAGAACCGUUCAGCUGGUUAGGGAACAUCCGAAGACCCCCAAGUCAAGGAGGAAGAACUAUACCAACCCCAUCGUCAAGAAGUGAACUUCCUCGUUGAAGACCGUGCGUAUCUACAAACCACUCCUAUUGAAGAAACCAAGCAUUUCCAUGUAAAGGGGAAGCUCACACCAAGAUUUAUCGGCCUCUCAAAGAUCACUUCAAGACAAGAAAUAGACGGCUACCAGCUAGAGUUACCACCUGAGUUACCCAUGGUGCACAACAUCUUCCAUGCGUCACAACUCCGGAAGUGUUUCCAACUUCCUAACUAGCCCGAUCACUAGCAAGGACAUCGAUCACCGGGCCAUCGACCCCCAGCCCAACCUGACCUACACAAGAAACCCAUUAGCAACCUGGACCAAGUAGGACGUUAUACACGAAGCCACACCAUCAAGUACUUCAAGGUUCAAUGGAUCACCACUCGGAAGCAGAAGCAGUAUGAGGAUGUGAAGACUACCCCAAAUCCAAGUUUCCAUACUCCUUUCCGCGCCUAGUUGGGAAUCUCGGGGACGAGAUUCUUGUAAGGGGGGUAGGUCUAUCACACCCUGGUUUACAUGGCACAACACUUAAAGUGAUGAAUAAUGAUAAGAUGUGGUUUGACAAAAACUUUUGAGUGGUUUAGACUUUGCCUUGAUUGGAUUUUGUGUGUUGUUUGCAAGUGCUCUAAAAAUCAAAUAAAUCCUCCAACUCUUAUACUCCUUCUCCUUGACCCAAAACUUCUGCCCAAUGAUCAUGCCAUGUGUAUAGUACAGUAUAGAAUUUUCUUAUAAAAAUAAUUUGGCCAAAAAGUAUUUUUCUAAAUUUAGUUUUCCAAAACCCCCUAGAUUGAGGUUGCACUACAAGUACUUGAUUUGGGGUAUGAAAAAUAUUUCAAAGAGUAUAUUUGAAACCUAUUAGAUAUAGGAAUCCCAUAAACCACAAAAAUAUAAUUUUAGAAGUAAUUUUCCUAUUUUAUUUAAAGGCUUUUUCUUUAGGCCAGAAAUGGUCUUUAAUAGGUUAAAAUUAUUUUAAUGCUUUUAAAAAUAUUUGUAAAAAUUUAGGGAAACUCAGUUGGCAUAUAUUGUCCAUAUAUAUGUGUAACGCCUUGGUUUCGAUGCGCAAAGGUGUCUGCCAGUUAUUCGUCAGCGUUGCCAUGUCAUUUGCUUGCGUGUUGCAUUUUAUCAUGUCAUCAUGUGCAUUUCAUUUUGCAUACGUGUUCGUUUCUUGCAUCCGAGCAUUUUCCCCGUUGUCCGUUUUGCAAUCCGGCGCUCCUAUGUCCUCCAGCGUUCCCCUUCUUGCCUCACUUCGUGAGCGGGUGUUAAACUUUCUCGGAAUGGACCGAGUCUUGCCAAGUGGUCUUGGUAUAGCACCGGUAGACCGCCUGUCAAGUUUCAUGCCAUUUGGAGUCCGUUUGAUACUCCAACGGUUAACCGGGUAACCGUAAAAGCCCCUCUCUCUUUGCAGCCCAACACCCUUCCAAACUGGCCCAAAACCCAUCCAAACCCCCUCCUUACUCUCGGUCGUUCGAUCACGAUCGCGUGGCCGAAAACCGCUCCUCAUUUGGACUCUCCUAGCUCCCUCUACCUAUAUAUAUAUAUAUAUAUAUAUAUAUAUAUAUAUAUAUGUGUGUGUGUGUGCCCCUCCCCGAUUUUUCGCAUUCCAAACCCUAGCCUUCCUCAUUCUCACGCCCCUGUCGCCCUGCCUCCGUGCCCUCGACCUCCAGCGCGGUCCCGUCCGACCCGCGACUCAGGCGAGCUCUGCUGGAGCUGCGCCGCCCCGCAGCGCCUCGCCGUGCUGCCCGGCCUCGCCCUCCGCCGCCGCCGCGCCGGAUCCGGCCGGAUCCGGCCGGGCCAACCCAUCUCCGGCCAACUCUCCUCCAACCCCGGUGAGCUCAGCCCGCCUCGGGACCCGUGCAAGCCAGAUCUGAAUGAGGUUGACUUUCCCCCCUUCCCCGAUUUUCAUCUAAGUCCCAGAUUUUUGUCAUUAUCAUGCCAUGUUCAUCGUAUCGUAUCUCUGCAUCCGUAGCUCCGUUUUGUGCGUGUAAUAUGUCAAAUUGUUCGCCCAACGAGUACAUCAUUUCAUUCCAUUGCAUCAUGUUCAUUUGAGCUCAUCUUGAUGCCUGAAUCAUUGUUGCAAGAGUGCUUCAUGAUGUUUUCUGCUGUCUGUUAUCAGAACGAGCUCAUUUGUCAUUUUUGCCAUGUUUGAUGUGUGCAUCUUAUGAGGUUGAUGUCUACAUGUGUUUUGAUCUAUGCUAUGUCUUCUUUACAGAGGUGCUUACCAUGUAUUUUUGUUAUCAAUGUGGUGACUAGCACAAGCAUGCAAACUAGGCAUCGUGAUGUUGCUGAUUUUAGUCCCUGUUCUGCUGUUAUUUUGAUGCCAUGUAAACAUGUUGCUACAGAGAGAUCCAUGCAUAUUUUGAGAUACUUAAGUAAGGGUGUUUUGAAGAUAUGGUUAUUCUCUAUCCAUCCUUGCCCUUGGUUGCAAUUAUGGAGUAGUCUAGCAUGUCAUUUUUGUGCUCUACUUUUGCUUCAAAUGUUUCCUGGCAGAUUGUUUACAUGUUAUUCAAUUUUGCCAAGGUUGUUGUAGUUGAUCCUUGCAUGCUAUGAACUUGUUCUUGCCUUGGUUAGCUUCAUAAACAUGUCUUAUUACUGUUGGUUUCCUUGCCAUGCCAUGUAUUGCUCUGUGGUGAGUGGUUCAAGCUCACCAACAUGCCUUCAUAAUUCUGUUUCUGCCAUGUUUGAAUCUGUAAUAUAACUUGCCAUGUUUACAUGGAUGCCAUCAUAUUUUCUGAUCCUUUUUGGCUCAUGGUCAGUAAGGGACUUUUGAUAUAUGGGUUUAUUAGAUUCAUUCCAUGCCUUUGUUUGCCAUGAUAAGUUCCUGUAACAUGUUGUUUGAUAGCUCUAAACAUUGCAACCUGAUGUUAUUUUCUGCAAAGUCUGAAAUUGUUAUAACUUGCAAUUUUACCAUGUGUGUUUGAGCAUGUUCUAGUGAUUUCUGGAGAUAGCUCAGUGUUCAUGUUUUAUUAUGCUUUACCUGUACAUCAUUCCCAUGUCUUUUGUUUUCUUGUUGAGGUCCUGUAGCAUGUUGUUUUGAUGCUUUCAAUAUGCCUAGUCGCUGUUUUGGACAGAUUGUUGCUAUAACUUGUAUAGAGUGUGUGUGUGUGUGUGUGUUGAACCGUUGCCCCGUUUUGAGUGUGCUUUAUAUGAAACUUGCUUAGAAUUGCAGGUAGCUUCAUAUUAUCAUGUUGCAUCCUUGUUUUGAGGUGUUUGCUUGAUGUUUGUAUGCAUUUUUCAUCAAUGCCAUAUUUAUCUUGUUUUGCUCAUAUCUUCUAGGCCGUAGCUCCGAACUAAAUGAACUUUAUAUAUAACUUGACUAGAAUUUCAUGUAGAUCCUCCUAGUGCAUCUUAACUUGCUGUUUAACAACUUGAACAUAAGGUUUAUUCAGAUCUGGACCAAUUUCGAAAUUUGCAUAUGAGGAUUUACCGGAAUUGUUAUAUGUUGUUCCCGGCCUCAUUUAAACUUGCUUUGAUGUGUUGUUCUUGUUUGCAUCAUCUUUUGCCAUUAGUAGCUUCAUGUAGCCUUGUCAUGCAUCAUGCUUGUUGUGCAUCAUGCCUUGCAUAUGUGUGGUUUGUUUACCGUGUUGUGUGCUUCUUCUCGAUAGUUCCUGUUUCGUUGCGAUCGUGAGGAUUCGUUCGUCUACGCUUCAUUUGGCUUCAUCCGUUCGUCUUCUUCAUGGACUCGUUCUUCUUCCUAGCGGGAUUUUAGGCAAGAUGACCGCUACCCUGGAUCUCACUACUAUCAUUGCUAUGCUAGUUGCUUCGUUCUAUCGCUAUGUUGCGCUACCUAUCACCUGUUUAUCAAGCCUCCCAAAUUGCCAUGAACCUCUAACCUUGACACCUUUCCUAUGCAAACCCUUGUUUGGCUAUGUUACUGCAGUUGCUCAGCCCCUCUUAUAGCGUUGUUAGUUGCAAGUGAAGUUGAAGAUUGCUCCAUGGUGGACAGGAUUUUGUUUGGGAUAUCACAAUAUCUCUUAUAUUAUUAAUGCAUCUAUAUACUUGGUAAAGGGUGGAAGACUCGGCCUUUUGCCUGGUGUUUUGUUCCACUCUUGCCGCCCCUAGUUUCCGUCAUACCGGUGUUAUGUUCCCGGAUUUUGCGUUCCUUACGUGGUCGGGUGAUUUAUGGGACCCCCUUUACAGUUUGCUUUGAAUAAAACUCCUCCAGCAAGGCCCAACCUUGGUUUUACCAUUUGCCUCACCACCACCUACCCUUUCCCUUGGGUCGGCCAACCCAAGGGUCAUCUUUAUUUUAGCCCCCCCCCUCGGGCCAGUGCUUGUCUAAGUGUUGGUCCGAACCGAGUAGACUGCGGGGCCCCCUCGGGGAAACUCGAGGUCUGGUUUUACUCGUAGGAUGUCUCAUCCGGUGUUGCCCUGAGAACAAGAUAUGUGCAGCUCCUAUCGGGAUUUGUCGGCACAUCGGGCGGCUUUGCUGGUCUUGUUUUACCAUUGUCGAAAUGUCUUGUAAACCGGGAUUCCGAGUCUGAUCGGGUCUUCCUGGGAGAAGGUAUAUCCUUUGUUGAUCGCGAGAGCUUAUCAUGGGCUAAGUUGGGACACCCCUACAGGGUAUAAUCUUUCGAAAGCCGUGCCUGCGGUUAUAGGCAGAUGGGAAUUUGUUAAUGUCCGGUUAUAGAUAACUUGACACCAGAUCCGAAUUAAAAUGCAUCAACCACAUGUGUAGCCCUGAUGGUCUCUUUUCGGCGGAGUCCGGGAAGUGAACACGGUUUCUGUGUUAUGUUUGACAUAAGUAGGAGUUCAGGAUCACUUCUUGAUCAUUGCUAGCUUCACGACCGUUCCUUUUGCUCUCUUCUCGCUCUUAUUUGCGUAUGUUAGCCACCAUAUAUGCUUAGUCACUGCUGGAGCCUCACCACUUUACCCCUUCCGUUCCCUUUAAGCUUUGCUAGUCUUGAUACCCAUGGUAAUGGGAUUGCUGAGUCCUCAUGGCUCGCAGAUUACUACAACAAUAGUUGCAGGUACAGGUUUUGCGAUGAUCAUGACGCGAGAGCGAUGCUUGCUUUGCGUUGAGUUCUUCUUCUGCUUCUUCUUUGAUCAGGGGAUAGGUUCCAGGUCGGCAGCCUGGGCUAGCAGGGUGAAUGUCGUUUGAGUUUCUGUUUGUGUUUCAUCCAUAGUCAGAUGAUGCUCUUAUGUAUUGUGAUGUUGUAUUCGUGUGGCAUUGUAUGCCUCUUGUAUGUAUCCUCAUCUAUUAUGUAAUGUUGAUGUAAUGAUAUCCACCUUGCAAUAGCGUUUCAAUAUGCGGGUCUAUCCUUGGCGGGACCUUUGAGUUCCUUUUGGAUAGGGUCGCAUAUUGGGCGUGACAAGUUGGUAUCAGAGCCUCGACCGACCUUAGGAGCCCCUUGAUUGAUCGUGUAGUUUGGCCGUUGUUGAGUCUAGAAGAAAACUGCUUUCGGAGUCUACUUAUAUCGGAGAGUAGGAAUUCUUUUUACUCCUCAGCCCAUUCGUCGCCCUGGUGAGGAAUCUUGACGUAGGUGUUUUGAAUUACUCCUCUUCCCCUUCAAUUUUUCUUUAGGAUGACGCAGUUGGUUUUCCGAUCGUUGGUUCUCAGCUCUUUUCAUCCGGUGCAUUUCUCGUCAAGUUGACUCGAGUCUCUUCAUCAUUGAGUUCAAUCCUCAGUUGUUUUCUUUCGCACCCACCCACCCUUUUUCUUCUCGGAACCGGAGUCCGUAAUCGAGUAUCCAUCCUACUCGUGCGAAGUCCUUGCCUUCUUUCUUCAAUGUUUUCAACCGGUGAUUUCUCUUCAAGAUAUUCGUCGAUUUCCCCUCCCGAGUUGCCUUUGUUUUUCCCGCCCUCCCACCCUUUUUUCUUCCCGGAGUCUGUCUCUCUCUCGGCCAUCUAUUUCAUUCGUGUGGAGUCUCUUCAGUCUUUCGUCAAUUGUUUCAACUGGUGAAUUUCUCUUUUGUUCAACAUUCUUCAUCUCUUUUCCGGUGGACCCAAUUCAAGUUUUUCGGGUUGAUCAUAUUCUUUUCCUCAAAGUGUUUUCCCUGCUCGUUCGCCUCUCGCCAUUCAAUCAUUCCGGAGUUCGGAAGACAUCUCAGGAGAUUCGUCAGUGUUCCAAUUAAUUCUAGGUUGUCACCUCAUUCAAAUAUUUCAAUUGUUCUAGUGCAUCAUCUAUCUGUUUCAACAAUCCUUUUCAACGGUGUUAUGUCUUCAGUGGGCCCUAACCCACAGGUUUUUUCCCAGGAUCUUACAUGACUCUUCUAAUUCCCUCGGAGUUAUUCUCAAUUCUUUUCAAAGUGUGACGUAAGAAUGAAUUUCAUCAGUCAGAUGCCAUCUCUAAGAUCGCUUUCAAACUCUUUUCAUUGUUGGUUCAACCCUUCCUAUUUUUCAUUCUCCCGGAGUACCUCUGUAAUUUUGGUGGUGUUUCUCGUCGACAUUUGAAGAUCGCAGAAGAGUUUUUCCUCUAAAUCUUGUCUGUUCUCUCGAAGACUCGUGGUUCUAGCUUCAUAUUAUCCUCUCGAAUUGUUUCAUUUGUUAGCUAUCCUUUUCUUACCCAUCCGGAGUUUGUCAGGAGUUGUUUUUCAUUUUCUUUUCACCGGAGGCCAUUUUUCCAGAAGAAUUCUUCGCCCUCAUCAUUCCUGCUAUCGUCCUCUAAUUAUUCCGGUGAUUCCAUCAAGUAUUCUUUAUCAGUUCAUGAUCUCUUCGUUCUUUUGCAUCUAAAUCCCCUCAAGCAUAUUUGUUCUUCUAAUUCUUCCCGGUGAUUCAUUCUCUUUCGUCAGUCAUUUUCGAAUUCUUACGGUGGUUUCUUCAUAUUCUUUUUCUUUGAUUAUCAUAUUAAUCCAUUCGUUCUUUCGAUCCUACCGGUGGUUCAUGAAGACCUUCUCAAGUUUUGUGCUAUCCCUUCUCAAUCCUUUUCAAGAAGAAUAAGUAGUAUGAAAAAUCCAUUGUUGGUCAUCAAUUUAAUUUGAUGAAGGAUAAGCAUACAAUAAAUCUUAUUCUUAUUUCAUCCAAGUGAGUAAUCCCUUCCUUUGGAGUUUGUUCUUAAUGAAUAAAUUCUAGUUCCAUGUGUUUCAUCUUUUCUUUUCUGGAGUUUAAAUUUCCUCGGUCAUUUCAUCGGAACCUCCAUCUAAAUCAUCGCAAGGCUUAAUCUUAUUCUUUCCUCCUUCAUUCUAUCUCAUCAUCCUUUUGUUACCGGAGUUCUUCAUGGUGGUUCUUCAUGAUUUAAUUCAUUCUUCAAGUGUUCAUCAAGAUUCUUGUUGGCGGAGUUCAAGUAUCUUUUCUUCUCCCAUCUUGAAGUACAAUUAAUCAUCUGUAUUCUUUUGAAGUGGAGUUUUGCAUUCCUUCGUUCUUCUCAGCUAUUCAAUCAUUUCCGUUUGCGGCUGGUUAUCACCUCAUAAUUUCUAAGAUGUUUCCAAUAAGUCCACAACAAGUUUAUUCUUUCGUUGUUGAUUUUCUCAACAAAUCCAUUCAAUCCCUCUAAAUUCUUUUCAUCCAAUUUUCUUUCAAUUCUUUCCGGAGGUUUUGUGUCAUGGCUUCAUCAAGUAUCUUUCCAUCCUCUCAAGCUCGUGUUCUAUUUAUCCAUGUUUCAGCCGGAGUGCUGCCUAAAUCCUUUCAGUAUUAUUCAUUUCUUAUCUUGUUCUAACCGGAGUGGUUUCAUAGUCUAUCUGAUUCCGUGAGCUUUUGAUUCUCGUCAUUCUCGUCGUUCCUCUAUUCUUCUCGAGUGCUCUCGAUUCUUUGCUUCUUCUCUUGAGUUCUUGCUUCACCUCAUCCCUUUUCCCUUCCAUCUCGGUCCUAAGAUCUCGGGACGAGAUCUCUUGUUAGUGGAGGAGUGUUGUAACGCCCCGGUUUCGAUGCGCCAGGUGUCUGCCAGUUACUCGUCGAUGUUGCCAUGUCAUUUGCUUGCGUGUUGCAUUUUAUCAUGUCAUCAUGUGCAUUUCAUUUUGCAUACGUGUUCGUUUCUUGCAUCCGAGCAUUUUCCCCGUUGUCCGUUUUGCAAUCCGGCGCUCCUAUGUCCUCCGGCGUUCCCCUUCUUGCCUCUCUUCGUGAGCGGGUGUUAAACUUUCUCGGAAUGGACCGAGUCUUGCCAAGCGGCCUUGGUAUAGCACCGGUAGACCGCCUGUCAAGUUUCGUGCCAUUUGGAGUCCGUUUGAUACUCCAAUGGUUAACCGGGUAACCGUAAAAGCCCCUCUCUCUUUGCAGCCCAACACCCUUCCAAACUGGCCCAAAACCCAUCCAAACCCCCUCCUUACUCUCGGUCGUUCGAUCACGAUCGCGUGGCCGAAAACCGCUCCUCAUUUGGACUCUCCUAGCUCCCUCUACCUAUAUAUAUGUGACCCUCCCCGAUUUUUCGCAGUCCAAACCCUAGCCUUCCUCAUUCUCGUGCCCCUGCCGCCCUGCCUCCGCGCUCUCGACCUUCGGCGCAGUCCCGUCCGCCCCGCGACUCAGGCGAGCUCCGCCAGAGCUGCGCCGCCCCGCAGUGCCUCGCCGUGCCGCCCGGCUUCGCCCUCCGCAGCCGCCGCGUCGGAUCCGGCCGGGCCAACCCAUCUCCGGCCACCUCUCCUCCAACCCCGGCGAGCUCAGCCCGCCUCGGGACCCAUGCAAGCCAGAUCUGAACGAGGUUGACUUUCCCCCCCCCCCUUCCCCGAUUUUCGUCUCAAGUCCCAGAUUUUUGUCAUUAUGAUGCCAUGUUCAUGGCAUCGUAUUCUACAUCCGUAGCUCCGUUUUGUGCGUGUAAUAUGUCAAAUUGUUCGUCUCAACGAGUACAUCAUUUGAUUCCAUUGCAUCAUGUUCAUUUGAGCUCAUCUUGAUGCCUGAAUCAUCGUUGCAAGAGUGCUUCAUGAAGUUUUCUGCUGUCUGUUAUCAGAACGAGCACAUUUGUCAUUUUUGCCAUGUUUGAUGUGUGCAUCUUAUGAGGUUGAUGUCUUCAUGUGUUUUGAUCUAUGCUAUGUCUUCUUUACAUAGGUGCUUACCAUGUAUUUUUGUGAUCAAUGUGGUGACUAGCACAAGCAUGCAAACUAGGCAUCGUGAUGUUGCUGAUUUUAGUCCCUGUUCUGCUGUUAUUUUGAUGCCAUGUAAACAUGUUGCUACAGAGAGAUCCAUGCAUAUUUUGAGAUACUUCAGUAAGGGUGUUUUGAAGAUAUGGUUAUGCUAAGUGGCACCCGACGGUGUUUUCAAAAAGUCUUUCGUAAAUACUUUGCCUCCAUCACCAUGCAUAAUCCCGUCCCUUUUGCGUAGCAACUACUUUAGCAUCCUAUCUACUCCCACCGGCAUAACCCUCAUAGGAACGUAGGGUCAUGCCCAAUGCAAGUAUGAACAAGGAAGUAACGAAGGCAACCCACCAAAGUGGUUACCACCUCAUCAUGAUUCUGAUGCAACAAUAAUAAAGUAUUAUAUGACAUGCAUAAAAAGGGUUUCAUAGACAUGGUCAAAGGCUGCUUGCCUGGUUCAUCAGAGUCUUGAAAUCUUCUGGUCCUUCUCUAAGUACUCCGUCUACUUCGUCAACUAACGCUGGAGACAAUCACAAUAAGCAACACAACAAGGCAAAAAUAAAAGUGCUCUAAAAAUACAAGUUGGACUUUUCUAGGAUACCUCUGGUCAUAUGGGGAAUGACCAAAGUGAUUUCAAUGGAAUUGUAUAAGUGGAUAUUUCUGAACAUUUCAAUAUAUUGGAACCAAGGGAUUUAAUGGAUCCGCAAGUUGUCUAUAGAAUUACUUUUUAUAAAAAUGAAUAAAAGUACCCAUUAAGUCUGGCAUGAUUUUAGAAACAUUUAGAAAUUGGUUUCACUGGAUUUGGAGUUCAAAUGAAUAUUUUAUGGAUUUUUGAAGCUAGUUUAGGAGUAUAAAUGACCUAUUUGUUAGAUCCAGGUGAAACUCGGCAGUGUCAAAAUGUUCACUAUGGCUCGUUAAAUAGAUAUUGAUUUAUGGAGUCACGUAAAAUUUGAAUCAUCAGAUUUGGACUUGAAAUGAGGUCUCUGGAAAAGUUUGAAUCUUGCUCAAAAAGAAAACGUAAAUGGAAAUAACUAAUGGGCCAAAUUCCAGCGGCGGCAGCGCGCACUGGGCGGGAUUUAAUAGUGAGGCGCAACUUGGCCGGCCCAAUUGCACGGCCACUCGCGUGCUGGGGGCCACGUCGAUAGCGCCUUCGCAGAUUGCGCCUCCCUAUAGCAAAGACGGAAUGCCGCCUAUGCCGCCUCCACUUAAGCGGGCGAGGCAUGGCCCACCCGUCAGUGGCCCCUGCCCACUGGCUGGCCGACAGGCGGGGCCCAGCUGCAGGUUCGUCCGCUACCUCCCGCGCGGGCGCGACGGAAGACAGAUCAAGCGCUCGACGGCGGCCGGCAACGCUACCGACCACCGUUUUUGGAGGUCCGGCCACCGGCGUGCUCAGCAGAGAGAGACGAACCAGGGAGGCCCCACGGGUGCCUGCGUCACCGGAGGGGAGCAAGGCUUUGCCCGCGGUGGAAGGUGGCGUCGGGUGAGAGGGGUUCUGGGUGUUGCGGGGCGCUAGAGGAGUAGUUAAAGGGCGGAGGAGCCUCACCGGCGUGCGGUGGCUCCGUUGGUGUCCAAAGGAGGAGAGGGGAGGCUUUGGUUUGCGGGAAUUUGGGCGGAGACCGACGGCGGCACUCUAGCCAUGGAGGGAGCAGGAGGGCACGAGAGGAGGUGCAGGUUGGUUCAGGGGGUGCACGGGAGAGAGAGAGAGAGCAAAGGAGCUCCAGAGGGGGGUCAGGGGCGACCUUAUAUGGCGAGGUUGUGGCUCACCGUGGACGUGGCCUACGGGCACCCGCGGAAAUGGCCGCAGUCGCCACGGGAGGAGGCUCGGAGCAGUCUACGGCGUUCGUGGGAGUCGAGUAGGGCGCCAGGAAGGGAGAGAGGGAGCGGGGCGAGCUCCGGGUGGAGCCACGAGAUCGCACACGCAUUGGCGGGCUCGGGCGGCUCUGGGCACGCGCGGCAUGGGCAAGAUAGAGGGGAAAAGGAGGGGGCCAGCACGGUGGCGUGUUGCGGACAUCGAGGCACAUCAACUGGCGCGAGGGGGAGGCUCGAGGUGGUCAGGGGACGCGGCGUCAACGGUCGGGAGCAUGCUGACGUGCUCCAGAGCGUGCAAAUGGCCGGCAUCCGUGGCUUUUCCGCACGCACUCACGUGUCCACUAGUGUCUAGUGGUUGCACAGGGGAGUAAGCAAUGUGGGAAAAGGCAUUGGAUGCCCUGGGGCUUGCCAGGUGUGAGAGAGAGGUGAGAAAAUAGGAGGAAAGCUGCUGUCCAGAGGGGGAAAAGGGGCUUUUCACCCCCUUCAUCAUGGCUUCUCGGGCAGGGAAAGAUGCUGGGGUUGGAGGAGGACCAGAUGGGGAUGUGGGAAAAACUUGAGCUCAUGGAGAUUAGUGGAAAUGGCCAAAACAUGCAUUUUAAAUUUCUGCCAGAAGGUGUUUGAUGGUGGUUUGGGCAAGAAGAUGAACUCCUCUUGUCAUGAUGCUUGACAGGGUCAAAUGGUAUGAGAAAAUAAGAGGUUCCACCAAUAUUGAGUCCAUUUGGGCAAAGUUGCCAAUGCAACUUUUGUAAACCCUAGAAAUCAACAGAAAUGGACUUCCCAAGAUUUAGUCAUGCAAAUCUAUUCUCCUUGAUGCACCAAUUGGUGUAGUGUCAUCAUUUGAGGUUAUGAACAUGUCCAAAAAAGGUGAGAUCAAAAGGAGAAAGUUUCCAAUGUAUAGUUGUUCAAAUUUGGUUCUGGACAAGAAGGGUUUUGGGGCACUUUUGAUCAAGUUAACUUGUUCUCCAACUUGUGCUACUUGGUCUAGAUGAUUUAUUAGACUAUUUUAGCAUGUGGACCAAUCUUGAGAGUAUUUGGGCAAGUUUUCUAAUGCAAAGUUGUUCAAACUUGGAAAAGGGCAGAAAUGGUUUUGAGAGGGUUUCAUGGGGUUAUACUAUUCUCCAUGACAUGAGGCUUGGCCAGAUCAUCAAAUGUGUCAUAUGUGAAAUGCUAGAAGUUUCUUGGAAUUUUUAGAGAAUAGUUUCUUUGUAAAUAUUUCAAAAGCUUGGAAUAUCCAGGAAGGGUUUUUGAGGGAUUUAACCAAUAUUUUGAAUAUGACCAUGUGUUGAAACUCAUAUUGUCACGCCCAAUAUGCGAUCCUAUCCAAAAGGAACUCGAAGGUCCCACCAAGGAUAGACCCGCAUAUUGAAACGCUAUUGCAAGGUGGAUAUCAUUACAUCAACAUUACAUAAUAGAUGGGGAUAAAUACAAGAGGCAUACAAUGCCACACGAAUACAACAUCACAAUACAUAAGAGCAUCAUCCGACUACGGAUGAAACACAAACAGAAACUCAAACGACAUCCACCCUGCUAGCCUAGGCUGCCGACCUGGAACCUAUCCCCUGAUCGAAGAAGAAGCAGAAGAAGAACUCAACGCAAAGCAAGCAUCGCUCUCGCGUCAUGAUCAUCGCAAAACCUGUACCUGCAACUGUUGUUGUAGUAAUCUGUGAGCCACGAGGACUCAGCAAUCCCAUUACCAUGGGUAUCAAGACUAGCAAAGCUUAAAGGGAACGGAAGGGGUAAAGUGGUGAGGCUGCAGCAGCGACUAAGCAUAUAUGGUGGCUAACAUACGCAAAUAAGAGCGAGAAGAGAGCAAAAGGAACGGUCGUGAAGCUAGCAAUGAUCAAGAAGUGAUCGUGAACUCCUACUUACGUCAAACAUAACACAGAAACCGUGUUCACUUCCCGGACUCCGCCGAAAAGAGACCAUCACGGCUACACACGCGGUUGAUGCAUUUUAAUUCGGAUCUGGUGUCAAGUUAUCUACAACCGGACAUUAACAAAUUCCCAUCUGCCUAUAACCGCAGGCACGGCUUUCGAAAGAUUAUACCCUGCAGGGGUGUCCCAACUUAGCCCAUGAUAAGCUCUUGCGAUCAACGAAGGAUAUACCUUCUCCCAGGAAGACCCGAUCAGACUCGGAAUCCCGGUUUACAAGACAUUUCGACAAUGGUAAAACAAGACCAGCAAAGCCGCCCGAUGCGCCGACAAAUCCCGAUAGGAGCUGCACAUAUCUCGUUCUCAGGGCAACACCGGAUGAGACAUCCUACGAGUAAAACUAGACCUCGAGUUUCCCCGAGGGGGCCCCGCAGUCUACUCGGUUCGGACCAACACUUAGACAAGCACUGGCCCGGGGGGGGCUAAAAUAAAGAUGACCCUUGGGUUGGCCGAUCCAAGGGAAAGGGUAGGUGGUAGUGAGGCAAAUGGUAAAACCAAGGUUGGGCCUUGCUGGAGGAGUUUUAUUCAAAGCGAACUGUCAAAGGGGUCCCAUAAAUCACCCGACCACGUAAGGAACGCAAAAUCCAGGAACAUAACACCGGUAUGACGGAAACUAGGGGCGGUAAGAGUGGAACAAAACACCAGGCAAAAGGCCGAGUCUUCCACCUUUUACCAAGUAUAUAGAUGCAUUAAUAAUAUAAGAGAUAUUGUGAUAUCCCAACCAAAAUCCUGUCCACCAUGGAGCAAUCUUCAACUUCACCUGCAACUAACAACGCUAUAAGAGGGGCUGAGCAAAAGCGGUAACAUAGCCAAACAAGGGUUUGCAUAGAAAAGGUGUCAAGGUUACAGGUUCAUGGCAAUUUGGGAGGCUUGAUAAACAGGUGAUAGGUAGCGCAGCAUAGCGAUAGAACGAAGCAACUAGCAUAGCAAUGAUAGUAGUGAGAUCCAGGGUAGCGGUCAGCUUGCCUGAAAUCCCACUAGGAAGAAGAACGAGUCCAUGAAGAAGACGAACGGAUGAAGCCAAACCAAGCAUAGACAAACGAAUCCUCACGAUUGCAACGAAACAAGAACUAUCGAGAAGAAGCACACAACACGGUAAACAAACCACACAUAUGCAAGGCAUGAUGCACAACAAGCAUGAUGCAUGACAAGGCUACAUGAAGCUACUCAUGGCAAGAGAUGAUGCAAACAAGAGCAACACAUCAAAGAAAGUUUAAAUGAGGCCGGGAACAACAUAUAACAAUUCGGUAAAUCCUCAUAUGCAAAUUUCGAAAUUGGUCCAUAUCUGAAUAAACCUUAUGUUCAAGUUGUUAAACAGCAAAUUAAGAUGCACAAGGAGGAUCUACACGAAAUUCUAGUCAAGUUGCAUAUAAAGUUCAUUUAGUUCGGAGCUACGGCCUAGAAAAUAUGAGCAAAACAAGAUAAACAUGGCAUUGAUGCAAAAUGCAUACAAACAUCAAGCAAACACCUCAAAACAAGGAUGCAACAUGAUAAUAUGAAGCUACUUGCAAUUCUAAGCAUGUUUCAUAUAAAGCACACUCAAAACAGGGCAACGGUUCAACACACACACUCUAUACAAGUUAUAGCAACAAUCUGUCCAAAACAGCAACUAGGCAUAUUGCAAGCAUCAAAACAACAUGCUACAGGACCUCAACAAGAAAACAAAAGACAUGGGCAUGAUGUACAGGUAAAGCAUAACAAAACAUGAACACUGAGCUAUCUCCAGAAAUCACUAGAACAUGGUCAAACACACAUGGUAAGAUUGCAAGUUAUAACAAUUUCAGACUUUGCAGAAAAUAACAUCAGGUUGCAAUGUUUAGAGCUAUCAAACAACAUGUUACAGGAACUUAUCAUGGCAAACAAAUGCAUGGCAUGAAUCUACUAAACCCAUAUAUCAGAAGUCCCUUAUUGACCAUGAGCCAAAAAGGAUCAGAAAAUAUGAUGGCACCCAUGUAAACAUGGCAAGUUAUAUUACAGAUUCAAACAUGGCAGAAACAGAAUUGUGAAGGCAUGUUGGUGAGCUUGAACCACUCACCACAGAGCAAUACAUGGCAUGGCAAGGCAACCAAUAGUAAGAAGACAUGUUUAUGAAGCUAACCAAGGCAAGAAAAAGUUCAUAGCAUGCAAGGAUCAACUACAACAACCUUGGCAAAAUUGAAUAACAUGCAAACAAUCUGCCAGGAAACAUUUGAAGCAAAAGUAGAGCACAAAAAUGACAUGCUAGACUACUCCCUAAUUGCGACCAAGGGCAGGGAUGGAUAGAUGCCCGAGGGAGGUAACGAGAUGGGUAACCACUUGAAGACGAAGUGGUGUACCGAGGCAAGCGUGAGUGUUGUUUUCAAAAAUGGAUUGGUUUAAGUUGCGACCGUUAUUCCAACCUUACAUGCGCAACCACUCUACCCUUGUAUGGGAAAGGGCAUUAUUGAUUACCUAGGUCGAUACUAGCUUGGAGCCCGCAUUACUAGUGACGGGGGAGAGUUGGUGCUCUCUCUCGGGACGGGGUCGUGCCAGGUAGGGCGGCCAAGAACAUUUUUAUGGGGCACCGGACACACCGUUGGUACCCCGUGCUUGUGAUGUGAGAUGAUUAUGGAGCAUGGCUCCACGAAAAUGUUAUGUGAUAAUGUUGGGCACGGGGGUUACUACCAAUCGAGUGGACUCCAUGUUAGUGUCGUCUAGGGAAAGGUAGUGAUCGGGUGCUUACCCCGGGUACUUGAGGUAUCGCGGGUCGUGGAUGACACGGAAGUUCCCCGGAUCUUGUGGGUAAAGUGUGCAACCUCUGCAGAGUGUAAAACUAUUCGAAUAGCCGUGUCCACGGUCAAGGACAGUUGGGUAAUCGCUCUUGGGCUACGUCCAUAUGUUUCUGAAAAACAACACAGUUUGGUGAUAUUGAUGAUGUGACUCGCGAGGAAGUCACGAUGAGCUUGAGCAUGAGUUGUUCAUAACUCUUUCUCGAUGUUGAUGUAUGUAACCUCCUGAUACUUGUUGCAGACGCACUCAUGUCGUUGAUAAAUGUUGAUCAUACUUACAUGAGAAAAACUGGCUUUCCGCAAAAAUGCCAAUUAAGCAGUAGAGCUUUGCAUAAUUCUUUUGUUGUCACUCUUGGGUUGCUUGCGAGUACAUUCAAACGUACUCACUGGCUUGUCCCUGGCUAUUUACUUGGCCAGGCUUGAAAGAGCAGGUAUACGAAGAAGCGAUUUUGGUGGCGAUCAUGCGAGCUAGGACGCUUCCCAGUCAGAAUGCCUGUAGGGUUAAGGCAGAUGGCAUGGGUCCAAGUUAUCGAUGAAGAUUUCCGCUGCAAUGUUAUAUUCAAGACUUGACCAUAAUGGUCAUAAUUUAUGUAAGACGGUAUGUAUGGAUGUAAGACUCUUGUUAUUCAGCUUCUGUGUGUUCAGUGAGCAUUGAUCUCUAGGAUCACUGUACACAUGCAUUAGGUGAUCACGACUUAUGAGUCAGGGUCCCCACAACAGGUACCUACAAACACAUGGGAGGACUUUCUCUUGUUCUCCUACACAUAAGACACCCCAUCUCCACAAAACAGCCACCAUACCUACCUACAUGGCAUUUUCAUAGCCAUUCUGAUCAUAUCGCCAUGCACUAAGAUCAUUUUAAUUACAUGAAUAAAGAGGUUUUCAUUUUCCUUGCAUGAUAAUAGUAUGGCGAGCUCGACAUUUUGAUGACUUGCCCGUUUUUUGAUGUCUAUGCUAUGCCGAAUCAUUGCACAUACUGGUACACUGCCAGAGGCAUUCAUCAUAUAGAGUUUCUCUCAUGUUUUCAAUUUUGAGUUAUGAUUACAUUCAUUUGAAGUGAGUCAUUGUAAAGUGUAAUGUUCAUCCUUGUAAGGUUUUGCUCCGAAAAAAAGGAAGAGAGACCAAAUAAAAGAUGCACCACGAAGGUGCCACAAAAAAAGGAGAAAGACAAAAAAAGUGAGGAGAGGAGCAACACCAUUAUCCUUUUUAGUAUACACGUGUGCUUCAAAGUAGCACCACUUCAUGCAUUCUCAAGUAUAAAGUUUCAUGAGCUUCAUGUUUCAUACUAGUGGGGAACCUAUAUUAAAAGAACUUGGCUUGUAUAUUGCGAUGAUGAGCAUCCUCAAAAGCUCGAGGUCUUCAUGAGCAAGCAAGUUGGAUGCACCCCACUUAGUCCAUAGGAGAGAUUUCACAUAUUCAUAGCUUUAUGUGUGUCCUAGUUAUAUGGCGAUCACUACUCCUUUUGUUAACAUCGAUAAUAGGUCAUUCUCCAUUGCCUAACGGUCAGCUGCGUUGAUGCAAGGAUUUCUUUAUCUUUGACUUCGCAAAACCCCAACCAUUUUCUAUCUUUCCCUUAAGUGUGAGGCAAAGGCUUGUGCUCAGUGCUGCAUAGGUAGUUGAGCGGUUGAAUAACACAGAUAGACGAUCUUGCUAUUGUACCUGGUAUGCCUCGAGUUGGUGUUUUUGAAGCUAUCGCUGAUGCUUGAUCUCUUUUAUGUUUGAUAGUUAUUGUCAUGUUCCUAACAUAAUAUUGACCCCCUCUCUGAACCUUUCACAAUGGGAAUUUGGGCCCCACAAAAAUAUUUUCCUCUUUGUCAACCUCCAUGGCAAUGGAACUAAGGGGAUAGCUUGUAUUACACCCUUACUAGUUAACUUUUGCAUGCUUGCACGAUGAACAUGGAUAUCUCUUUUGGGGUUUGGUUCAAUGUAACCUUUAGAGUUGGUAACAGUGAGCUUUUGGCAGUCACCUUCUGACUUGAGGACAAGCAAGGUUUAAGUGUGAGGAGGUUGAUGUCUCUAUAUUUUAUGCAGUUUAGAGCUCAUUUGUUGCAUGUUCCCUUCAUAUAUUAUGUCCACUGAACCAAAUAGUUGUCAAUUAUGCAUGUUUACCGGGGUUUUGCACUUACCCUUGUGAGCAUUCAAUAUUUAGUAUUUUAGUUGGUUUUUAUUAGUUUUCUUUGUUUUCUUGUGUCUAUUGGUGUAUUGGAGCAACUUAAGACUAAGCACAAUGAAAGGAGCAAGGAUGGGUUCAAUACGGAGUCAGCCAUGGGUCAGACUUGGCCAUUCCGAAUAUCGGAAAAAUUCAUUUUCCCAAAGUACUUCCAAUCAAUAUCAAAGACCAAAAUUGGAUCGGCGUCGAUCAUACGAAUCCAACUAUCCCAAGAACGCCAAAUUCCGAGUUCGUGUGAUGAUUUGACGGCCCUUUUACCAGAGGAGUGCAGACGAGAAGACGACGUUCUAAACGACCACGCAUGUCAUUUUGGCGGUCGUUUGACACGUAGAUAGCUCCAAAAGUUGCCCUUCCAUAUGGGAUUCUUCACUAGUUUCAUCCCCGUUCGAGCCCACGGGAUCCUUGGCUCGUAAAGAAGAGGCUGGGAGAGGAUUUGGCUCAUUUUGAGCCCUUAGAUAAAGCCCAUCAAGAGAGGAGGCUAGGGAGGCUCUCUAUAUGUGUCUCCCUCAACCCUAGCCACCACACACCUCACGCCAUUCAUCUCCAACACAUCCAUCUCCAUCUCCAUCUCCAUUGAUGCUCCAAGACCACCUCCAUAGAGAAGAGAAGGGCCAAGCCAAGAGAAAAAAGAAGGGGUGCCUCCACCACUCGCAUCGGCCUUCGGGCCAGUGCGGUCAUCACCACCGCUGUGCCAUCGUUACCACCACCGGCGUUGUCGUGCCCCUCUCCUCCACCGGCUCCACGACGACUUGUAACUUUACCUCUCCAUUUAUGAUGUUUGCGUAGCUGUAUUAGUUCUUGAGGAAUUGGAUGAACCCUUGCAUGAUUAGUACUUUGUUGAGUAAAGCGAUCUAAUAUUAUCACUACACCACAACACUUCAUCCCUAACAGCCAGGUUGGUCGGGAAUACAAGUUUCUCUAACAGAUAGUCAGUCGGGAAAGACUAUUACCGACCAACAACGUCUGUUGGGAAAAGUCUAGACGGGAAAGCCCUUUCCCGACCGACUGUUUGUCGGCUAUAAGAUAUCUCUCCCGACCAACAAUAUGUUGGGCCUGCCAUGGGCCUUUCCCAACCAACAGUUUGUUGGGGCUGCCAUGGGCCUUUCCCGACCGACUAUCAGACAGGGUAAUCUUUCCCGACUAACAAUCCGUUAGUGUAGCCAAGGGUUUUCCUGACCGACUAUCUGACAGGGUCUUGUUUCCCGACCAACAUUCUGUCGAGCCAAGCAUUAGCCUUUCCCGACCGGCUGUGUGACAUGGUUUUUUUUACCAACCAACAACCGUUAGCCUUCCCACAGCUGGAUUUCACGUUACUGGAUUUCACGUUACCCACAGAAUGUCAAUGAAGUUACAUAAUCAUACAUAACAGUAACAUGCAUCAUCCAACAAUAUUAAACCAGAACCAAACAAUAGUCACACACAUUCAUUAAUUUUCACAUAUAAAUAGUUCAAUAGUUAUGAACGAAUGGCCAGCCAAGUUUCCUAUAAAUAAACUAAUGUAACUAAUUAAAUAGAGGAAACAUGAUAGUUCACUGUCUGAGAGCAAAAGUUUGUCGCUUUGUUUUCUGCAAUACAUCAUCUGCCUUGGCUCCUUGUAGUGGGCAACUACAUACCCAUCCUCACAGCCUUCCAGCAAGAUCGUUGCAUCGUUCUCGCACUUGACAUCAAAGCCUUCAUCCUUCAUCUCAUUGGAGAUCAUUCUCUAGCUUGAACAUCUGCAAGUCAAAAUCCCCGAUAAAUAUUCCACACAACGUUAUAUUUUCUCUAAGCUACCUUCAAUAUCAUUUCAUACCAAAGCAACUCAAGAGAAUUCAUUACCACUGGCAGGAAAAGGGGUACCCUUCUAGAAAUUUUAAAAGCGCGCGUACCUUUAGCCAUUCCUACAUGAAUGAAAGAAGAAAUCAGAUGAUUAAGAAAAGUUAGCAGCUGAAUAAGAACAGGUAGCAUCGAAAGCAUUUGCUUAGCAUCUGCAACAUGAUAAAGGAUAUUUCAAUUAGCAUCAUGAGGCUUGCAGAGUAUAGAAACCAACUACCAUUAGCAUCAUGAGGCUUAGUAAAAAAAAUGUGAAGCUGAAGUCGUUUCCAUGUUCAUUUGCAUCGACGUACACCCAGAAUUCAGCAGACAGCAGCAUAGCAAGGUUGACAAGCAGCAAACCAGCAAGAUCGAACAUAGUUUCACAUCAUUUCAUUUUUCAACUAGAUGAUGCACACUACAAAGCCAGAACCUAGAACUGCACAUGGAUUACAAAAGUUGUUGUUAUUUAGUGCACUGGUUGUUAUAGUGGAGCUUCAGUACAAUAAAUAUCGAAAUUACAUAGUUAUAGAAGUGUAUUAAUCUGCCAUGCAUAAUAAUCUCCCCGAUGCUCUUUUUCAACGCCGAUGUUGCUCUGCUGCUGUUCUUAUUUAAUCUCCCCCUAGGCGCUCAACAGGAGAAGCACCGGCCAAGGGCCAAUGAUGCAUAGACAGGGGAACAUGGCAGAAUACCAUGCCACUCGAUGAGAACAAAAUAAAGUCAAGGAAGCUGCUAUACAUUGGGUGAUACAGCAUAGAAUCAAUUGUGUGACAUUUUCAUCGACCUGUGCAUACACACAGGGUACCUUUUUUGUGUUUGAGAUUAUUAGUUGGGAAUAACUAUGACGAUCUUAAAUCAUUAGACCAUAGUUUACAUCACAUACAGUUUUUGCUUAUGCCGCAUAUGCUAUUGUUCUAUAAAUCUAGGAAAAACGAAAAUAUGCACACAGGAUCUGUACACAUAAACUGCGUUGAGUAUAAACUGCGUUGGGUAUUUCACUUCAUAGGAUCUGUACACCACUGAUCAUGUUCUUACAGUAUGCACAUAUACAUCUUAAUUUCUCUAAUCACAUAGUAAUAAACUUACAGUGAAAGGGAUACCAAACAGAGUUUUUGGAGAAAAUAGAGAUGAAAUUCACAAUUAGUACUUUUGAUAACAUUAGAGAGAGAGAGAGAGAGAGAGAGAGAGAGUAGUUUAGUUUUUAUUUUGUCGCAAAGAUGCAUGUGCGAGUGUACUUAUCUAGGAAAUUAAUUAACAAAAAGACAUAGUUCUUUUGAUAACCUUCUAUGCCACGCAUUAAUCCUUGGGGUGCUCGCUCUUUGUCNNNNNNNNNNUUUCAUCGACCUGUGCAUACACACAGGGUACCUUUUUUGUGUUUGAGAUUAUUAGUUGGGAAUAACUAUGACGAUCUUAAAUCAUUAGACCAUAGUUUACAUCACAUACAGUUUUUGCUUAUGCCGCAUAUGCUAUUGUUCUAUAAAUCUAGGAAAAACGAAAAUAUGCACACAGGAUCUGUACACAUAAACUGCGUUGAGUAUAAACUGCGUUGGGUAUUUCACUUCAUAGGAUCUGUACACCACUGAUCAUGUUCUUACAGUAUGCACAUAUACAUCUUAAUUUCUCUAAUCACAUAGUAAUAAACUUACAGUGAAAGGGAUACCAAACAGAGUUUUUGGAGAAAAUAGAGAUGAAAUUCACAAUUAGUACUUUUGAUAACAUUAGAGAGAGAGAGAGAGAGAGAGAGAGAGAGAGUAGUUUAGUUUUUAUUUUGUCGCAAAGAUGCAUGUGCGAGUGUACUUAUCUAGGAAAUUAAUUAACAAAAAGACAUAGUUCUUUUGAUAACCUUCUAUGCCACGCAUUAAUCCUUGGGGUGCUCGCUCUUUGUCUCGAUGGCAGCCUUCUUCACAGCCUCAAUAUAUUUUUCCAUUAUUCAUAAAUUAAGCUAGCACUAUCUGCUCAUUGGAACACAUAUACUCAUCAUGGUGGUCUCUUGUGAUACAGAAAAAAAAUUGUGGGGAUAUUGCUCAGAUUCAGAAGGCAUUGUAUAUAUUUUUUGACUUAUUUUUAUUCAUCACACUUUCUUACAUGGAAACAAUAUAUUUGCGCAUAGUAUAAGUUAUAUGUACAAAGCACAGUGCAAAGGUUAAAAUAGCAUAAGACUAUUAUAAUCAAUAUGCAUGAUUAAAGGAAAAGCGAACCUUGCCUGACCAAAUACGGGUCAAAUUUGGAAAUUGUUGCCUGAGCAACAGGAGUUUCAUGACCAGUCCAUGCAUACAGAAGUACGAACACGACCCCUUGGCUCCUUCAUUCCACAUACAUGUGCAAACAGAUCACCUUCUUGAAUGCUUUUUCCUUCCAUUCAGUGCGCUUUUCAGCUUUCCUAUGAGAUAUUUCUGCAAAAUGUAUUAUAUUUACUUGCUAUGUAAAUUUUACUUGUACAAUUUUUGAGUAAUACAGAGAAAGCAUGGCAAAAGUGACUUACAAUUGUUGCUUCUGCCUGCGGCACAUAACUCCCUUUCUUAUCCCCUUUCUUGCAUGUAUUUGUCUCGAUAUAAACUUGAUCUCUUCGAGGCUGAUGGACAAGUUUGACAGCCUAUAAUCAUUUAUUUAUUUUACAUGCAUUAGUCACUGAAACACAGUGGCAUAUCACUUUUAAUUGGGGUAAUUAUUUGUCAUUUUCUUUAGUAACACGGGCAUGACUCUUGCUGCUGGAUGUAUGAGACACUUGUGUGAUUCUUUUUGGCGAUAGCACUGCGAGACUACAAGAAAAAAAGGAAAGGAGAUUUAUUAUGACUAGACAUGUUGGCAACAACACUGCCUACUGUUUUGAUAUCAUAUAUAUUGUUUGACCAAUAAUUGCAACUAAUGAUUACAUGCAUAUUUGUUUAUUUAGGUCCAGAACAGAGUAUGUUACAAGGAAUCAGCAUUUGCUACAUAUAUUUAGGUCCAGAACAGAGUGUGGAUGCAUAUACUACAGUUUUCUAGUCAGCGGGAUGACUUACUUCAAAUACCGAAGAUCUCCAGUAAGUAAUAAGGUUCUUCCAGUCAGCUUCACUAAUUCUACUGUCACAUCUUUUCAUAAGUUGUGCAUCAAUCAGCGCGGCAUCAAACUUGUACCUCUUACCGCUUUCAGAUGUUCCUCCAUGACCCCCACCACCUUUAGCUUUUCCGCUUCCACUUGCGCUUUCCAUUUUUCCUCCUGCUACUUCUCCUUGACGACUCAAUGUUACCAGCAGUUAUACACUAUGCUACCUGCAGAAACCAAGUCAGCGAAAACAGGGGGCAAAAGCCAUGUCAUCUCAUGUAAAAAGAAAGUUUUUACAUUUGAACAAUCCUCUUAUCAAGCACAAAGAGACACUAAACACGGUGGCAGACUAAACACAUCAUGGCAGACUAAGCACAAAACAGGAAACAUAUCCGGGGAACCUUUUUGGAAGAGCAAAAAUUAACUUAUCUUGGGCAGAAGCAUAACAAGAGUAACACCGUAAACAUGACUCUUAGUGAAAGGUGAACUAAAUGACCAAUGGAAAAAAAAGAUUAGUUCAUAUCGGUACCACAAAAUUUGCACUGGAAAUAAACAAAAUUUGCACACAACAGCUCAACUUCUAAAAUUAGUUCAUAUCGCUGCCAUAAAGCUUCUCACAAUCAGACUAGCUGGCAGCAGUACACAGCAAAUCGGAGAACCAGAGAAUAAUAAAGCAUGAGGUGC
RNAcentral lists this long non-coding RNA (48877 nucleotides) under Triticum aestivum (bread wheat). RNAcentral's name for it is "long non-coding RNA (TAES_LNC016215)". The record is from RNAcentral. Lineage: Eukaryota; Viridiplantae; Streptophyta; Magnoliopsida; Poales; Poaceae.